Molecule: long non-coding RNA, 55092 nt
Filed under: Fragaria vesca (wild strawberry)
Lineage: Eukaryota; Viridiplantae; Streptophyta; Magnoliopsida; Rosales; Rosaceae
Description: long non-coding RNA (FVES_LNC003352)
Source: RNAcentral
UUUUUUUUUUUUUGGUAAAUAGUUUUGGUUCUUCUCUUUUCUUUUUUAUUUUUGUUCCUAAUAAAAUAAUUCAAUAAUUUAUUCCUUUAAAACAGUAAAAAUCCAUGCCACUAAUUUAGAUAACCAGAAGAGGUGAGUUGGCUUCCGCCACAUCAUUUGGGAUUCUUAUUUUGUAAAAUAUUUUGGUAUGUGUAGUGUUACUCACUCUAACAUCCUGGUUCCGCCAUUGAUAGAGACACUUCAAAAAGGUCAAAGAAUUGUAAUUUAGAACACGAAAUAUUAAGAGGCUCGACCUUAAUUAUUGCAGAUACAUUAGCAGUUAGAAGUUAGAUUAUAUAGAUAAACCUGGUUAUUCAUGUCACCACCAUUAGUGUGCAUGAGUCAUGACAUUUAGGAAUUAUUAAUGAUUGAGAGAAUAAAUGGUAUUUCAUUGUAUUUGUAACCGAUUACUAUUUAACACUUGCCAUUUGUAUACAUGAGGUAGUGCUAUAUAAAUCUCAUGUAAGAUGAAUAGAAGACCUCACCAAUUUAUCUACGUCAAAACUCUCUCGCUCUCAAAUCCAUUUCACUUUAUAACAAAGACUCAGCAGACUUUUUGCACCCAGCAAAAUUAUACAAAUUCUAACUACACCCAGCAACUUGACAAUAAUAUCCUUCUUUAAUCACACCCAGGAAAACCUAUAUUCUCUUGCUUGAGUUAUGAUCGUUUAUGCAAAACCUUGCGCCAUCUCCUUCGUAAGGUCUGAAAUUUUUGUUUGUUUGUUGAUAGAUUAACACCAUGUCUUGUUCUGAUUCAUGAGUAGUGUUUUGUUUUGCUCUGGUUUCAGUUUACUUAUAAUUAUGAGAGACUUAAUCAGUUUGAUCUGUUAAAGAUGCUUAAGUUAUUUGAAUGAGUACUUCAAUGAUGAUAUGCUUGAAUGCACUGGAUGACUUGAAUCUCUUAGAAAUGCAUUUCUUCCUUUCCUUUAUGACUGGUAACGUCCUUAUCUUAUAUAUAAUCUGAUGAUUCUGAUUCAUCCCAUAUUCCCAUAUAUAUAAUCUCAUCUCAUCCAUUGUUUGUUCAAUAGAGAGAAAAGGAGCAAUAAACACUUCUCAAUCAUCAUUCCUCUUUCUGGAUAUCAACCUCGAACAAGAGAAAGCAAGCUUCGCACCUUUAGUUUCUUCAUAAGACACAAACUAAAUUAGACUCCGAUAUUAUGUUUGGUUUUGCUUUACAAUGAGGUCCUAAACCUUGUGAAUCUCAAUGACCCAUAACCUCAAACACAUAUUUAUUCACAACCUUCUCGAGUUCUCGGUUAAUUGUUAUUGAUGUUCUGAUGGGUACAUCAAUAGAUGGGGGUUUCAAAUUUUAUGGUUUUUUGGUAGGGAGCUGAAAUUUAUGCUCCCAAAUUUGCAAACCACACUCCCUUAAUGGUGAUAUGACGAAACUACCCCUUAUCAGUCUUAAAACUCUAUUUUCUGGCUCCGUCUUCCCUCCUCUGUUCAUUUUCUUCUUCUCCUUAUCUUAAUCAUCUUCAUAUCCUUUGAAUUUCUACUUCUUCCUUAUAUAUUCUUCAUUAAUUGAUAUACCCAAUAUCAAAUGGAUCUUUUGGGUAAUUAGAGAUUAAGACUGUAUUGCAAUAUCAAUUCUUCCUUCCAUCACUCAAACGUCUCAUUCUCUCUCUCUCUCUCGCAUAGAUUUCAGCCUCACUCUCUCUUUGCUGUUCUGCGUCUCUUAUGAUCUGCUUUGCUGACAUUUCUUGAUCUCUAUGAAGAAACCAGAUAAAGGUGAGCUAAUGAAAUUUCAAAUAAAAGUAAGAUAUAUGGCUGAUAUGGUCUGGGUGGAGACGGGAGGUACCAAACUCUUCUUUUCAAUGAUGUUGGGUAUCUCAAAUAGAGAGAAUCAAGGUGUAGAUUUAGUCGUCAUACUCAGUUGAAUCCAAUCUAGCUCUUCACUAAUUCUAAUUUCUUCUUUACCAUCUAAGAUAUUCAGUCGAAUCAAUCUUUUCUCACCCUAUAUAACUUCAUCAGCGUCUUAUUUGAGCAAUUUAAUUUGGAUUUGUAGUGUUUGUGAUUGAUAUCAAAACUUCUAAUUUCCAGAAAUUGUUCCCAGUUCCACGAUUGUAGCCAUCAAUUUGGAUCAUCAUAUUUCUUUCUAUUUUGCAAAUCUGGGAAUCAUGAUAGAGAAAGAGAAAAAGUUGUUUUGGGUUGGUGUGAUAGGAGACGGGUAAACAAGUGAGGAUAUUUGUGGAAGAGUACUAAAAAGUAUUAUUAAAUAAUUGAAAGGGAGUGUGAUUCCCAAAUUUGGGAGUGCAAAUUUUAGCUCCCUUUUGUUAUUAUGUUUAUUAUUAUGAAAGUUCUUGUACGCACCAAGGUACAUGUAAACCAACUAUGAGUAACCAAUCAGAAUCAUUCAUUUAAUCCAUUCAACACACAACACUAACACCAAGGGUUAACACCGUUAAAGUGACAAAAAAAAUCAAUCAACAUGGUAAAAGUACUUAAGGCCAAGGUAAAUAUUCCACGGGCAAUUGGAAAAUCUGGAAGAACAACCUCUCGCCAUCGAGGAGGAGGUUCUUUGUAUAUGAGCUGAAUCUAAUCGAAAAUGAGAAUGGGUCUCCUCCGCCACCACCGUCUUGCCCGGCACCGUAUCUUCAUUACCUUCAGAAAACGAAACUCGGGCCUUCCUUUGGGGUGCAGCGGUUGUCAGAGAUAACCGAUGGCUGCCAUGGUUAUGGAGAAGCAAUGGAAGCAACAAAGAAAAAAUCAUGAAGAAUCUGAAAAUCGGAGAGGGUAGGAAUUGAAAUCUGGAAUUUCUGGAACUCGAACGAUUCCUCGCACCAAUAAUGAAUCGUCCUCCGAGUCUAAAGGAUUAAACCUCCUCUUCUAAUUAUCAGAUAUUUAGAUAUAGAUUAUGGUUCUUAGAUUGAGGUUUGCUGGGAAAGAUUUGUGAUUACCUGAAGGCUGAAGCUUUGCGAUGCUUCACUUUUCAGCUAUACAAACUUUUCAUCUUUCUUUUGUUAUUCUAUCCAAAUUUCCAAACGUAAACACUAGGGAGUUUACCUAUUUACCCAGUCUUAAUACUGUGGAUCUCUUACGCCCUCAUAAAAGGUACACAUGUAAAAUUCGCUAUUAUAAGGAAUAGGAUUUUUUUUUGGAGAAAGAGAUAAGGAUUAGGAUUAGGAUUAGGUAUUAUCAUCUAUUUAUUAUUUUUCAUUAGUGUAUAUAUAAUCAGUAAUUUAUUUUGAUGGUAGAAGGAUGAUUCAUUAUUGGUGCGACGUCCCAAUUUCGGAAAAAAAUAAAAUUAAUUUAAUUAAAGUUAAUUAAUCAUCCUCANNNNNNNNNNNNNNNNNNNNCCCAAAUGAAUUGUGGAGAAGAGUUGAGGUUACCGGGAGAAGACGUGCUUUCGACGAUUUUAGGGUAGAAGAUGUUGAAAAGAAUAUUCCAGCGUGANAUUUUUUUUUAAUAAUAGAUGUUUGUUUUGGUCAUUUAGCUUACCUAUAAAAUUUCAAUAGAAACAUAAAAUAAUAAAGGUGUGUAUUAAGAGAUUAGGGGUGUGUAUUUAAAAUUUCUCUUAAGACAGUCAAUUGUUAAAUUUUUUUGGAUUAAAUUUAAUUUGUCCCCUCGUACUUUAGGUCAAUAAUCAGUUUGGUCUCAUAUCUUUUUUUUUAAUAACGUUGGUCCUUGUACUCUCAAACAUCAUCAACUAAGUCCAAAAUUUUAAUAUGGCUUCAAAAAUAAUAUUAUUUGCUGAUUUGAAACUGACAUGGGGAUCCACGUACAUUUGAGCUUUUUAACCUACAAAUAGAGCUAACAAUGAAAAAAAGUCAUUUUUCAAGGACCAAACUCACCCAUAUUUGCACUAAAAUUCAAAUUUUGGACUUAGAUGAUGUCAUUUGAGAGUACAAGGACCAACGUUAUUAAAAAAAAUAUAUAUGAGACCAAACUGAUUAUUGAUCUAAAACACGAGGGGGCAAACUGAAUUUAAUCCAAUUUUUUUCUUCCCUAAAACGAUAUAAACAACAUUCAAAUCCAAUUUUCAAAAUUUGGUGAUUGUAAGCUUUGAUUGAUGGCCGAGCUAUUACUGUAUAGAUUUCCAGCAAUUUGACCAUAACUAAUUAAUUGUGUUUUUCCUAAAGUUUCAUGCUUAUUAUGAAAAAUCCGACCUUGUAGAUCGGUAUUCCUCUAGAUAUACGGUCAAUACUUGUAUAAUGCUCAUACUUCAUGUAAGAAAGGUUUCAAGAUUUAAUUUUUACUUUCUCUUGGUUUCAUUUACUUUUAUUUAAGUGCAAUAAAACAAAUUUUUUUUCUACAUUGCAAACUAAAGCAAAGCUAAUGUGCUUCUAAAAAAAAGCUAAGCUAAUGUAGUUUUUCUCUCAGUAAGAAAAACAAUACAAGUUUUUUAGGGUAUAAGCUUGUUUUCACUCAAAAAAAAAAAAGAAAAAAACAAAGAAGAAGUUUGCUUGACCCUAAACCUUAAACCCCAAAAAAAAAACCCGAUACCAAANNNNNNNNNNNNNNNNNNNNNNNNNNNNNNNNNNNNNNNNNNNNNNNNNNNNNNNNNNNNNNNNNNNNNNNNNNNNNNNNNNNNNNNNNNNNNNNNNNNNNNNNNNNNNNNNNNNNNNNNNNNNNNNNNNNNNNNNNNNNNNNNNNNNNNNNNNNNNNNNNNNNNNNNNNNNNNNNNNNNNNNNNNNNNNNNNNNNNNNNNNNNNNNNNNNNNNNNNNNNNNNNNNNNNNNNNNNNNNNNNNNNNNNNNNNNNNNNNNNNNNNNNNNNNNNNNNNNNNNNNNNNNNNNNNNNNNNNNNNNNNNNNNNNNNNNNNNNNNNNNNNNNNNNNNNNNNNNNNNNNNNNNNNNNNNNNNNNNNNNNNNNNNNNNNNNNNNNNNNNNNNNNNNNNNNNNNNNNNNNNNNNNNNNNNNNNNNNNNNNNNNNNNNNNNNNNNNNNNNNNNNNNNNNNNNNNNNNNNNNNNNNNNNNNNNNNNNNNNNNNNNNNNNNNNNNNNNNNNNNNNNNNNNNNNNNNNNNNNNNNNNNNNNNNNNNNNNNNNNNNNNNNNNNNNNNNNNNNNNNNNNNNNNNNNNNNNNNNNNNNNNNNNNNNNNNNNNNNNAAGGAUGUUGAUGAACUAUGCCGCCAUCGAGCAAGUCGAGUAGGGAGAUUAACACUCGGUCGGAGUCGGAGUACGGAAUUAGGAAAACCGAUCCUUUGAGAGGCAAUACGCAGAAGAUGAAUAAAGGUUCAGAAAUGUAGUCGAUAAUUCUGAGGCAUAUGAAAGUGGGUUGGUGAUGGAUGAUGGCUAUUUGCCUCUUGAGUCGUUUGAUACAGUCGAUGAUGAAUAAUGGGAAAAAGGUGAGAGAGCCAUGAUGGAAGAUUCGGUGGUAAAAUUAAUUUUUUACUACUCUAGAAAUUUUUGUCUCAGUUUUUAUUCUCGUUGACUGGCCAAACACUCAGUUAGCUUCCGUCUUCAACUAACGGUGCACGUGACCUGCAUAUCAGUGGUUAAAGUGCACCACGGUGCACUGAAUCCGCUCCGUUAUUAUUAUGACUAUCAAUGUCAUUUCAAAUCAGGAUAAGUUUGUCUUUUUAAUAAAAUUGUUAUGUUGGGUCUACUAAACAUUUGCUGGGCUAGGGUAUGUCUAUUGUGCAGCGCUUCAUGAUAUGCAGCGUGAAUAGUAUGUCAGGCGCCAAACACGUGAUGAGAAAUUGGAAAGGUUAACCGAGUAUAUCCGGUUUCCCCACACGAGCGAGAAUAAACACACCAUAUUCUACCAUAGCAAAACUGGUCUGCUACGACCUCGGCAUCAAUCGUGUAACGCCCUAAUUCAAAUCCUCACUGUUGAACCACCACCUUCACCGCCGCCCUCCGCCCUUAUUUUUCAAUUUCACAACCCCCAAUUGCAUCUGUAAGUCAUUGACUGGUUUUACCAUUUCAGUCACCGACUCAUAUUCCGAUUCCGAGUCCAGCGAUGGGUUGAGGUACAAAAUAUCUCGAUUCCGAUUCCGAUCCCGAUUCCCGACAAUGCCAAAGGUACGAAAUAUCUCAAUUAUCAACCCAAUGAGUUUCCAACUCAAUUGUCUCUAUCACAUUCAUUCAUUCGAGCGAUUUUGACUGAUGUUGGGAGGCUUUGUUUUGCCACUUAACUUCAAGGGAUAGGGAAAGCUCUGGCGAUUUGGAGAAGAGGGAGAAAGAAUGAAGGUGCAUUGGGUGCAAGGUGUUAGAGGUGAGUGAAAAAUUUCAUUGUCCGGUGAUAUGCUUUUUGUUCAUUUUGUCAAUUUACUUGUGGAGCUAUUGGUUUUCCACUGAGAUGUCCAUUUUAUAUAUUAGCUAAUUAAGUUCUAUUGAUAAGAACUUCAAUUAUUAACAACCUUAGUCGUAAGAAAUUUGUUAUCUCGACUAUUGUUGUUCUGGACAAAUGCAACUGUAGAGAAACUAGAUGAUUCAAAUCAGUUGAUUGGUGGUAGGGAAAAAACUAUGGUGUAGGUUGUUACGUCUGGAAGAGGCAAAGUUGUUUUGAUCAACUACUAGUGUAAAGUAGUUUAGAGGGAUCUGUGUUCUCAGUGGCGGACGCAAAAAAUUUUGUAAGUGGGGGCAAAAAAAAAAAAUUGAGGCUAAAGAGCCUCCAGAGACGACUCAAUGUCCAUUUCCACUUCCACUCCAUUAAUUUCGUAACUCUUCAUGUAGUUAAUUUGCAUUAUUUUGAAAAAUAUCGAAGUCUUUUUCACCAUUUAUAUGAAAUCUUAAUGAAGCACUAUAAAAUUGCAAGCUUUCCAACUUCAAAACUUCAAUAUAUGAAUUCAAGUUCAACUAGACCCCUCAAAAGAUCACCUAAAUUGAUACCCAAAACCAGAAAUCUAGAGAAUCAUUUAUCAGACUAUCUGGGAUAUAUUCCUUUGUGGGUUAAUUAACAUAUUUUUAAACAAUAGAUGUAUAUGUUAAAUCAUGAUGGGGGAAAAUCAAAUAAACAUUGACAUAUAUAAGAAGAUGAUUAGCAAGAAAGAAAGUUCACUGGGGGCAACUGCCCCCACUCGACCCCUCUGUGUCCGCCUAUGUGUGUUCUCUUUGUUUGGCAUUGCAUAAGGCAUCAUUAGACAAUAUUUGAGCAGUAGGAAAUGUAGCAACGGCUGCUUUUAAAGAUUUGAGAAUUUGAAGCUUCUGAAUUGAAGGUUGGAGCCAAAUUCAAUAAACACACACACACUCAACUGGUACUGCAUGUAUUUGAUCAGAAGACAAUAAAACCUAUGUCAUCUUUAAUAGUUGACAAUGAUUACCACAAAUGAUUUCAAUUGCUAUAUUUUCCAUGCUUUAAUGACAUUAGAAUUUUCUACAGGUAUCAAGAAAUUAUUACACACCAGUUAUGCUAAUUUGUGGUGAUGAUUGGUGAUGACAAACCCCCACAUUUUGGUCAUGCAGGAGUGUCGUUUCCGGGUUGCUCAUUUACUGAUAAAGGAAGAACAAGAAGGUAUAGUUAUCUUGAUCAUGCUUUCUUUCAGUCUUGCUAUUAUACAUUAUUUACCUGAUACUAUAUCUUUUCCGUUUUCAAAAUGUUCUCAGAGCUUGCUGCCCUCCAUUGUAUUGUAAUGUCCAACUUCUUAUUGUGUUAUGAAGAAGCUGAAUUUUUGCAAGCUGGCAACAUAAAAUCAUCAUUGUAAUUCAGAUAACAAUUGAUUAGUGUUAGAUUGCUCCAUUUCACACGUAUCAAGCAAAUAGUAUCAUUCAGGUACUGUCUCCUUCCCAAUUGAGCAACACCAUUGUUCAUUGUUCAUUCAACUUUUGUUCACCUUCUUUACAAUAACAAACAGGAGAAAGAAGUAGCAUCAUCAUCUUUACCAAUGAACAACCAGUUGGAGAAAAUGAAAAAGGAGUAAUGUUGAUGGACAACUCUUACUUUUGUGGCUUUUAUGAUAGCUUCUGCGGGUAUACACAUUUUUAGUAAAGAUUAUCACUCUUCAGCAGCAGUGCACCAGCAAGAUGUGAUGGUUUGAACUAUUCUUUGUCACAAUGAUUAUGCAGUGCACCUACAUUGGGUAUUGCAGGGCAGCAGCCUACAUCUAUUUCUUGCAGUCCAUGUAAAUAUACUGCUAUUACAAAUGUUAACGAUCAAUGAAUCACAUACGAUUUUUCCCGCGCGGGCAAUUUGCCUAGUUAUACUCUAAUCAACAAAAUAACAUCAAACCACGUUUAAUUAAUUAUUCCCUCAGGAUCGUUGAGUUUCCUUUAAACAAACAAAAAGAACGCACAAAGCAAACCUAAGUAGAGGCCAUGAAAGGAUCACAUAUAAGUGGGGUAUAAGAUCUCUUUUUACUCCACCAGGAACUAAAAUGACACCCCAACACAAAACAAUGUAAAAGUUGAUAGUCGUAACGCGGGCAUUGUUNNNNNNNNNNNNNNNNNNNNNNNNNNNNNNNNNNNNNNNNNNNNNNNNNNNNNNNNNNNNNNNNNNNNNNNNNNNNNNNNNNNNNNNNNNNNNNNNNNNNCAAACAGGAUAGCACAAUCUUUGCUAUCCUUGUGCGCGGGAUAGAGCAAAAAGUUGUCAGGGCCUAUUCACCCCCCCCCCCCCCCCCCUCCUAGGACCUUCACUUUCAAUCUUCUUUUUCAAUUAAGCUGUUGCCGGCUUGGUUCGUGAUAACCUGGAUCUCAUCGGAAAUCUUGGAAGCCUCGGCCACGAAUUGUGAAGACAAAGUGGAGAUCUUGGCUGCUGAUAUUCAUUGAAAUUUGAAUUUUGACGGAGAGACCUAGAGAAAACAUAUAUAGUCACACGGAAGUCAUUUUAACGAGGACUCUUUAGUUGAGGACUUGUUGAGUAUUUUUCGGCUUAUCUUAUCUUUCGAUCUUAUGUAUACAUCUUGACCGUUCAGUUUAUAGAUAUUUAUAAGUAUAUUAUUUCUCCAAAUUUUCAGCUAUAUCGAAAAUUGUUAAGGUAUUCAUAAGUGUAAUUUAUUAAUUAUGAAUUUGAAUGGUUCAUAUUUAACAGAUUUGGUUCGUUCAUUAAUUUGAUCUAGUUUGUUAUCUUAACGAAUACUAAUUUGGCUGAAAUUUUAUAAAAAUGAUAUACUCAUAUAAACCUAAAAACUGAACGGAUGAGAUGUCAAAAUGUGAUCGAAAAAUGAGUUUUUUAAACUAUAAACCGAAAAGUUCUCAACUAAUCAUCAACUUAAGAGUCCUUACUAAAAAAGACUCUCAUAAAGAUAAGAUGAGGAACAAAGUAAAAUAAAAGAUUUAUAAACAAUUGACUGGUGGUAGAGUAGAGAUAUGUUCAGAUUAUAUAGAGCACUAGAGAGUAAUAAAUCCUUUAAAUAAUUAAGUAUUAAGUGGGUGGUGGUUAUCAUCGAAAAUAAGAAAAGUGGGUGUUGGUGACAUUCAAAUGUUCAAUACACACCAAUAGUUUCAAAGGUGAUUUUCAAAGCGCACCAUUACAUUUUAUUUGUGACUUUACUGUCAACUAAUUUCAAGUAUUGGUGUCUGUUGAGGAUUGUGGUCACCAUUGAUGCAAUAGAGGGUAUAAGAUGGUAUCAAUUGCCCAUAUUUGUGGUAGUGUCAUCUGCAAGUUUCCGAUCAUAAAAGAGAAAGUGGCUAAGUGCUUCGUCUAAUUUGUCAACAAGUUAGAGCAAUUUGACAUAUUAAGAACAAGGUUCUUUUCUUAUAACCAUAAUAAAGUGACAAGGUGUUGUCUGUGAGCAUGAUGCUUGUAACUUGAGGAUACAUCCGAAUAAUGCAGUGAAAAUGGCAAUCAAAGUCACGUUCCUUGUAGAAGUAGAACCAAUAUAGCUGAUCUUGUUCUCCUCUGCAUAUUUCGAAGCAAUACAUACUUACCUAGCUGCUCCUUUGCCUUAUGGUAUGUGGCAGUUAGUUUUGCGCGCACAUUGAUCAAAUACACGGAUGGAAAUCGCAUGUCACUUUCAUACAGCUGAAGAAAACUGUAGGUAGAGUAUAAUACCACAACCAUGACAGUUACAAGCAUACAAUUUCCCCAAUGGAACGGUAGAACUUCGAUAUGUACCAAUUUUCCGUCUCCUUCUCUGAUGAUCUCUUACUGUGAAUUUAGUAAUUUUGACACGAAACUAUAUAAGUUGCAGGCAAGAUUUUAUUUCAGUUUUUAUUCCUAGAUCUGUGCACAUUACACGGUACUGAAAGUCAUACACAAUGUUGAGAUAUAUAUCCCACAUCGGGAAUUAAGACAUUGCCUGUGGGUUUAUAAAGGUUGAAUUGAGUCACUCCACUCAUAGCCAAUUGGUUUUGGAUGUGAACUCCAAACUACUUUAUCUUGGUAUCAGAGCGGGUUACCCACGUACGUUCACAUGUGAAGCUCAAAUGGCCACACGAACUCCACGUCACCCAAAUGUUGUCCACAUGUUAGGCUUGAAAAUUCGCCAUACGUGCGGGGGUGUGUUGAGAUAUCAAUCUCAUAUCGGGAAUAUAAGACCUUGCCUGUGGGUUUAUAAGGGUUUGGACCACUCCACCCAUAGCCAAUUGGUGUUGAGAUAUCAAUCCCACAUCAGGAAUAUAGGACUUUGCCUGUGGGUUUAUCAAUUGGUUUUGGAUGUGUGGGUUUAUCAAUUGGUUUUGGAUGUGAACCUCAGACUACUUUAUCAUGGUAUCAGAACGGGUUACUCACGUCCACGUGUGAAGCCCAAUGGCCAUACACACUCCACGUCACCCAAAAUGUUGUCCACGUGUUAGGCUUGAAAAUUCGCCAUAUGUGCGGGGGCGUGUUGAGAUAUAUAUCUCAUCACAUCGGGAAUUGAGACCUUACAUGUGGGUUUAUAAGGGUUUGGGUCACUUCACCUAUAGCCAAUUGAUUUUGGAUGUGAACCCUAAACUACUUUAUCACAAUGCAUGAUACAUGUGUGCAGGGCAUGUAAACUAGGCGUGUUCGUUUCUAUAUCGAUCAUCAAAGUAUUAAUUUUACCCAGCCAAUUCAUGAAUAUUUGAACCAGUUGUAACUUGUAAGUAAUCAUUAAGAAUGCUUUUAUGAGGAAUCUAUCAAACCUAAACAUUUGUUGGAUUCUUUGCCGUUGAGAGAAGUAAUGAUCGAAUAACAGAAUGCUAAAACUCAAAAUAUCCUUUAUGCAUGCACUGAAGGGUAUAUGCUUGGUUACUUGGAGAGCAUUGAAGGUAAGAGAAGUAAGGUAAAGAUUUGAAAAGAAAAAAUUAGGAAGGGAGACAUAAAGAUUCCCUUCUCUAGCUAGCUGAUUCUUUGGUUCCUGGAGAAGUAAAGUACUAGCAAAGCGAAGUAUAUGAGUCAUCGAAAGCAAAUUAAAUUUGUUUUAGUUGGCUUUAGUAGAGACUUGAGAGUGACAUAGCACAGAAUGUUCUCAUUUAUUAGAUGCAUUACUUGAGAGGAAAUUUUUUUUUUUUUUNNNNNNNNNNNNNNNNNNNNGAGAGAGAGAGAGACUGAGCAAUACUGAUUGUAAUAUAUAUAGAGGUAGGUAAUCAAAAAAUCAGAUUGUUGACGAUUUGAAUUGACAAUUGUGUAAGUGAUCAAAGCUGACUAUCCAUACAUAUCUUUAAAUCCCUAGUAUGGCAGAGAAGUGUUGACUAUAAACUCGAUCAACAUUUAAGAGGAAAUACUCUCAUUAUUCUUUCCCACAGAUAGGUUUUCUGAUUUCAUAGUUCAGCUCCACUACCCCCUUCAGGUUUUUCUUAAUCUUUCAUCUUCAUUUUCAUUUUAUGCUCGAUUGUUGGUUUGUUAAUUACUAAUUUGGUGUUCCAGAACUUUCAAUUCUUUUCUUGUGCUAAUACAUGACUGAAUGUGGUAAUUUGUUGUCAAUGUCGUAAAUCUGGUUUAUUUGAAUUGUUUUUAGUUCAAAUGGAAUGAGUGCAUUAUGCAGAUCUCAGUAUCAUAAACUACCCCAAUAAUUCUAUAACUAAAAGGAAAAGAAAAGAACCACUGCAAUAGCUAGCUCAGAUGUUGAUGGACUUAACAAAUUCUGCCAGUUAAUAAAUUAGUUACUUGUAGCGGUCUAGUUUAUUCCAGUGAGCCACUCAUCGAUCAGAUUUGUAAUCAUUCUCCUAUCUAAUUCGGUUUGUGCUUGAUUAGUGUUGUCUUUUGUGUUUGAUAUACAGAUGCAUUAUGGCUUGUGUUAGUGUAAUCUAGCUUGCAUCCAACUUAUAAGUUUACUUGUUUUCUUGAAGCUAGCUAGCAAUGAAGUCUUCGUCUAGUCUCAAAUCCAAUUCAAACUUGGAAAAAAUCUUGACCAUUGAGGAUGUCAGAGAAACCCACAUUCCCUCACUCCUCAAUAGCCUCUCCGAGGCCAAGCGUUACCUUUCUGAGACCCACGCAGACAACAAUGAGGCAGGGAAAAUUUCCACUGAAAUUGAAAAGCUUCGUAAAGACCUCAUUUUCAUCAAGCAAGUUUUCACUGGACUGGACACUUUGGGAAAAAGCACAAGUGAUCUUUUCAAGGUUCUCCUCGAGCACAGCCUAGACCCGCUUUUGGAGCGAGGAACGCAGACUCGCUACCACGAGUCGCUUGAAAAGCAAUUCAAGCCAAAGCUUGGAGUGCUUGCUGAGGUUAUCAUCAAACUGAAGCUCCUACUUCCAUCACCGCACAAACUGUUGUUGGAUAGGUCCAAUCCUUUUCUACUGUCCAGCAUUCAUUUGGGUGCAGGCAAUCGUCUCAAUCAAUUGCUUGGCUUACACGCAAGUGAGGUGUUCUAUAAUAGCCAGGCUUUUAAUGAGUUCCAGAAUGUUUAUAACAGUCUUGGUACUGUUACUACAAAGCUGUGCUUGCUGUGUUUCGCUGUGUUUCCGGCUAAUGAGGUUCUAAAGAAGAAGCGUCUGGUACAUUGGUGGGUCGGAGAAGGCAUCCUCUACCCUCCGGUGGAGGAAAUUGCUGAUGGAAUAUUUGAGGAGUUAACAACUAAGGGCUGCAUUGAACCGGUCAGGAAAAAGAGGAGAUCAGACCCGCAUAGUUUUAAAUUGCACCCUCUAAUUCGUUCAGCAGUGAUUCGGAUGGCCAAAGAAGUCGGAUUCUUACAAUUUGAUGACAAAGGGAGACCAACAACUGAGUUCUCAAGCUCUUAUCGGGCUUGUCUUGUGAGUGGUUGUCGUCAUCUGGAAUUGGUAACUAAAACCGAUAUGGAAUUAGAAAAACUGCAGACUAUAUUCAAUGUGAACGAGUCUUAUCCAAAUUUUUCCAAAGUGGAAUGGUCCAGGUUGAAGAAUGUGAAGGUUCUUUAUCUUGGAAGGUGGCACAGCAGGGCUAAACAUCACAUUGAAGUAGUCGACAUCGAUUUCUUGAAAGGGUUGAUGUUUAUGACACGUUUGAGGUUUCUCAGCCUCCGAGGAAUAUCAGGGAUCAUGGAGCUACCUGAUUCAUUAUGCAAGCUUGUUUGUUUGGAAAUCUUGGAUCUUGGAGCAUGUCACAAUCUAGAGGUGCUUCCGGAGAAAAUAAGCUCGCUUAAGAAGCUCACACACUUGGACAUGUCCGAGUGUUACUUGCUGGAUCGUAUGCCUAAGGGGAUCGCAUCGCUCUCAGAACUUGAAGUUCUUAAAGGGUUCAUAAUUGGUGAUCACAGGCAUAACACUUCGUGUACUCUGCAUGAUUUGUCAGAAUUGCAAAAGUUGAAAAAAUUGACAAUCAACACAAGCAGGGAGGAUUUUCCCAAGGAAGAAGAGCUAACUGUCUUGCAAGGAUUUGGUUCACUUCUAAAGCUAACAAUAGCAUGGGGAGGAGUAGACUUCCUUGCUAACCGCCAGGAGAAGCAUAGUAAGCAACACAGAGUUGGAGCACAACCUAAAACAAGCACGACAGAUGCCAGAGGGGGUAUCAGAAAAGAAGAUCAUGCUAAUGGUGUUCAAAAUGAUGUGCGCAGAAUUCCGGCAAGGUUAGUAACCUCGAGGCGAGGGGCUACUCAGGAACAUUUCAAAGUACUUGAGAAACUGGACUUGCAAUGCUACCCUCAUAUGAAAGCACCAAGUUGGUUGGCGCCUGGAAAGCUCGAGAAGCUGAAGAAACUCUACGUUAGAGGGGGACAGCUCCAAAGUCUAGGUCAAGUUCAGGAGAGUGAGAAGUGGACAGUUGAGAUGUUGCGUCUGAAGUUCUUGAGUGAACUAAAGUUAGAUUGGAAUGAACUCCAGGCAGCAUUUCCAAAAUUGAAUUAUGUGGAGAAAUUUAGAUGCCCUAAGACCACUUUCUUCCCCUGCAAUGAGAAUGGAAUCUGGCUGAAAACUGAAAACUGAAAAUUGUGGCCAGAGCAACAGGAAAUUUCAGUGUGAUGCCUUUUGCAUGUCACCAUUGCCCGAUAUUGUAUGCUUUCCUUUAUUAGAUAAAACCGUGUGAUUUCUAUAUUCUAUUCUGAGGAAGAAAUUAGUUGUUUUCAAAUAAAAUAGCAUACUAUCAUACAUUGUGAUAGAAGUUUGCCAAGUUCAACAAAGCUAAUGCUACAUUGAAGAAGAUACUUUUCUUCGGCCUAAACAAUGCUACAAUGAAGGAGAAUGAAUUUGAUUGCACCAUAUUACAAUGACAUGGAUCCGAUCAAAUUCCUCUAUAACAGGAUAUUUGGUUUAUCUUGUACAGGUGAUGCCAUGAUCUAAAACAACGUGAGAACAAUCUAUAUCUGAGGCCUUACCAAGAAAAAAAAACAAAUCUAUAACUGUGAUUCCAGUUUGAUAUCAGCUUUAACAACAAAUCAAUGCAUAAGCCAGAGACAAAAAAUCUCAGACAUGAUCAGCUUGCACUGCCAAAUCCUGUAUUCCCAAAUCGUGGUACAAGCCAUGCACCAAUUGAAGAACAGGGCGAUCAUCUAUCCCUUUCUUGACCUGUUUGAAUUAGCAUCAUCAGCCAUUAAAGGUGGAAAAUUGUUACCAGAAAAUGUAAACAAUUGUACAUAAUAGACUGUUUAGCCAAACUGCACGCAUCUACAUUCACUGAACAUAGAUGAUUUUUUAGUAUUUACCUGUAACGAGAGUGAGCCAACAACAUGACCAGGAACUACCUCCCAAAAUCGAGCCUGAGAAACUUCAGAAACAUCUUCGCGGGCAGCAAUCUAAGAAGAAUAUAGAAUAAGUGAUGCUGAAAAUUUGGAAAAACCAUUUACCACUAAAGCUUCUUAUAUAAUUUAAACACAACCUGUCGCCAGCAUUUGCUCAAUGCUGAAGUUGGAACAUUUGGUGGUGCCAUUUGGAGCAGAAUACCUCCAGUUGCUCUAAAGAGUGGCAUUACAAGCAUAAAGACUACAACUGCAACUAGUCCAAAACACAAAACUUCUGCAUUCUGAACCCUGCAUAUUAAAAGCAGAUCAGGUGAGGUAGACAAAUCAACAAGGAAACACAAAGAGGUAGGUAGAAAGGAAGCAGUAUUUACCCAAGAGACAGAAACCAGGAUGCCAGUAUCAACCCUGCACUGGGAGACAUAUACCACACCACAUUCAGACGGAAGUUUACAUAAGAGAGAGAAUAUAGAGAGCAUGUGGGGGGCAAACAUAGGCAAUUACUGUGGAAAGACAUGGAGGAUGAAGGCAAGAAUAGAGAAUAUUCUACCUGCGUAUGGAAUCUGCGAGAACGUGCAGACAAACUGAGUGGUUGUUCAUAUCCUCGGCAUUCCUGUAAACUGCAAGACAUAUGUAUGCCAAAUAAGAAAAUGUACAACAGGGUAAAACAACUCUUUUUUUAUUGUUACUCAAUUUAGAUACCAUAAUCCACUAAACAUCUCAUCUUCAGAUGUUCAUACCCUCCUUAGUGCUCAGAAUUAUUGGUAUUCAACACAUACUGAUAACAUCAUAUGCAUUCGCUAAUACCUUCCUAUCACUUCAGUGAUAACUGAGCUAUGAUAUAUAUCGAUUAUUAAAUCAGGAUACACAGGUACGCAUGUAUCAUAAAGAAAAACAGAAAGUAUCCAUGUCAAUCCCUAGAUAACAACAUGUAUCACUGAGGCUGAGGUAUAUUAAGGAAUACACAACCAAAGUUUUAUUCGGUUACUUUCACAUCGCUAAGCCAAAACUUUUCAAUCAAUGUCAGGUACUUAUCAGGGUCUUUGUUACAAGGUUUAACCUAGUUGCACUAGCACUGAUAAUAUACUAAGCCCAUUAUGGGUAAUCUUUUAUCCAAUCAAAAAUGCCAUGACAUGCAAUAGAGUCAAGUAGGUCUCAAAAUCAACGAAAAUUCAUAGAUGCCAGGUCAAGUCACAAGUUGGUAUCCACAGAAUACAUAAACUAAGUUGGAAACUUACCAAGAUUGAUACGAGCAUAAUUUCUGAAGAACCAAACACCAAUAAGAUUCACCAGUAGAUUUGUCACUGCCGAAACAAUCAAGUAAUGCCUAUAACCAGAAAAGUAACAUAUAAUAAAUCAUCAGAAGGAAAUCCUAGAAUCAACGAGGAAGCAAAAGAAUUAUAUGAUGGAAGUUCAUCUACUGAUGUUUACAUAUACAGAGAAGAUGAUGAAUUAGAUAGAUUGGCCCACAAAAGAACCAAGCACAGAAAAGCAUAUGCACAUGCAUCUAGUCAUUGUCACACGCCUCAGUUUCAGUUACACAUACAUAUCAAACACGUGAAUCUAGACACGCUUUUGCAUAAAAGACAAAACAGCUUUAUGUUGUGUCCCAAUCCGAAACAGGCAUCUGGAGUCUCAUGAAAUGCAAAGUUCAAAACAAAACUGAAAGCAAAUAAAAUGGUGACACAAGAAUGAUCAAGUGUAUAUGGAAAAAUACAACUUCAUGAAGAAUCUAGUUCAAUUGGCACAAAAUUGGAACGAGCACAAUUUUUUCAGAGGAACAAGUACAUAUAGAUGCAGUAAAUUUUCAGAUCAUUAUAGUUCGGAUGACCAACUUACUUGUGUUCAGAUUCAUCCUGUAUGAAUGCGUGAAGUGCUUCUACAGCCAAGGAGAAGGACAUAAACAAAAGAAACAGCUGUCUACAUGUGCAGCAGAAUCAACACAAAGUCCACAUAUUAGCCGAGGAUGCAUGAAAGCCAAUAUAACCAAAAGAGAAAAAGGAGGGAAUCUCUUCCAAUACAACCAACAUAGAUCUUUAAGAGCUCAAAAGGUGAAAACAAAUGUGGCAAUUGCAUAAUGUAACCAUGAAAACAUUAUAAUCAAGUUAAAUAAUGGCAAUUGCAUAGCAAGUAAUGAUAAUUUACAAAUUAUUAGUUAAGAGAUUAUACUAUGAACCUUAAAAAUGAGACAAUACCUAGAAAAGGUGUGCCUACAAAACUAAACAGCGUUGUAAGACAGGAGUAAACCCGUCCAAACAUAUUAUCCAAACCCUAAUACACAAACUGCAUAGCUUACCAUGCAGAAACAAAGUUUCCAGAUAUAUUACAAAAGUAUGGCACGAGAGAAAGGAAAUGUGAAGUACUUACAGCAUUGGUAAAAGCUGACAAAACUUCAAGCCUCUUGUACCUGAUUCAAACAGCAAAAGCGAAAACACAACCCACACAUUACUCUCAAAUCCGAAACAUCCCUUUAGCUAUCAACAAAAACAAUCCACCAUUUCCAGUAAUAAUACAGACAUAACAAUCCUCACCCGUAAGUGUAGAUUCCAUCAGGCUUCUUUCGAGAAGCCGCCAUCGCAAACAGCGAAAAGGUCAACAGCCCACACCCGAAAGUCAAAUGAAAUGCAUCUGACACCAAACCUGAAAAAAACACACCACACAGAAAAAUCAAACCAAAUACAACCACAUCACAAAACUACCGAGGAAAAAAAUACUUAACGCAUCACGAUUUCUACGAACCUACACGUCCGGUGAAGAGUCCAAUACACAACUCGGCAGUGGAAUACGCCACGUUGAGCGAAAUCAAGAGAAACAAUCGCUUCAUAUACCGAUUUCCGGACCUGAGGAUCCGAAAAACCGAUUCGAAUACAAUCAGAAAGGUCAAUUUCUCGGCGGAAACUCUUCCCUGGCCGAAGAGCUUGUCGUUUCCAUCGGAGUACGCGCCGGGCGGGACGUCGAUGCUGGAGACGCUGCGGGACAGGAAAGGCGUGGUGGCGGACGACGAGUCGUUGAGGUUGAUGGAGGCUUGGCGGGAAAAGGCGAGCCUCCGAUCGGUGGCGCCGAGUCCGAGACGGUCGGAGCUCCAUGGAGUCUGAGGGUUUUUGAAGGAGUUGCUCUGUUCCAUUGGAGUUGGGAGUUUUUCUGUUUGGAAUUUAGGGAUGGGAUUCAGGUCUGAGAUUCAUUUUUAUUUUGGAAAAGUAGUUGGAGAAGACUCAGAGUCGAGUAAACGGUCUUCAACUGUAGCAGAGACUUGUUUGUGUCUGAUAUGUGCUACCUGCCGUCUGAUAGCUCAUCACACGGCUGACAAUGAACCUGGUAAAUUUACUAAAGUUCUAUUUACCAACAGACCAGUUUACUGCUCAGUUUCAUGUUUACGUAAGUUCAAGCUUGAAUGAAAAGCUUGUACGUACUGAACAUGAGAAUCCGCUACAUAUAUAGCAAUCAAAUGUAUAUGUUCUGUACAAGCAGAUAAGUAAAAGCUGAUGGACAAAAAAUUUCACUCAUUUUUGAAUAGUUCAUGUUAUUACAAUUUGGUUCUCUACAUGAGGAGUCAGAAAUGAGAAAUUUGACACGCAGCUGGAGAACAAGUAGAACCAUCCUCUUCAGCUGGAGAACAAGUAGAACCAUCCUCUUCAGCUGCUCAAAGUAUGCACAUCAACUGUUGCUGAUUCAGUUGGCACUAUGCAGAAUUCGGAAUAGGAGAACAAAUAUUAAAUGCCUAUACAACAGAUUCUGGAGUUGGAGAUGCUGGAGAACAAGUAGAACCAUCCUCUUCAGCUGCUCAAAGUAUGCACAUCAACUGUCGCUGAUUCAGUUGGCACUAUGCAGAAUUAGGAAUAGGAGAACAAAUAUUAAAUGCCUAUACAACAGAUUCUGGAGUUGGAGAUACGGAAUACCAUUUCUCAACAUAGAUUACACCCCUGACUCCACCAAUGUGCUUACAGUUUCAACUCCAUUUAUCAGACCAGCUGGGUUUGGAAACCUUCAAAUAGUGACAUUAUGAAAAUAAAUAAUGCGGGUUUAUCAUUGAGAAGUACAAGAGAUGAAAUUGAGAUGUUAGGCUUUAUAAAACAUAAGGAAAUUUAUGUGAAAGAGAUUAUGUGAGACCAGAACAAAUACACGGCCCCAUCCAUAACCACAAGUUUGAUUUAAAGGAGCACACUAACCCAUUACUUCCUUACUUCCAGGAAUCAAUCAAAUGGCAUUACACUGACAUACUUGUAGGGUGGGGAAGGGAAUACAAAAACAUAAAUAAAAAAAUUAAAAUAAAAAACUUACCAUCUUGUCAGGACUGCAUAUGAUAAUCCAAAGUAUAUGCGUUAAUGUCAGAAGGACUUGUGCCAGGCCUGAAAAUAAAAAUCAUGAUUGAAGAAUACAACAGCACUCUCUACUCAGCAUUGGAAGAUUUAAAUCAACCAAAUUUGAACUACUCACUAAUGCCUAAUUCAAUCUAGAUGUUGUUGGACUAUAUUUGUCCUUUACAUUGCCAAUGAAUCAUUUUUAUCUUUGUAGAACACAUAAGCCGCAAAUGCUGCAGUCAUGUUAUACCUGGAAAACCAAUUAACUGAAAAUACCUUUUAUUAAUGGUUCCAUAGUGGAACUUAAGCUUCCCUGCCUUCACAUCUUCAAUGUACUGCAGUCAUAAACCCAUAAGAGAUAAGAAAAUGUGAGAGAAGAUAAUAUCUAGUAAUUGAAUAGAUGUUGAAGGACGAAGAAAGACCUUACCAAUUUUAAAGUAACUACCAUUGAUGAGAAUGACAGAGAAUCAAAUGGUAUAUCAUCAAGUGCAAACAGUCGGCAUUCUGAUGAUUCUGGACCUGGUGAAAACUGGGGUUUUUUCAGCCUUGCUAAGAAAAUUACGUAGGUCUGCUCAAAGAAACACAAAAGCAUCUUUACCAACUAUACAAAAUCUUGAAAGUGAAUAACGGAAUUCUAUAUAAAUAAAUAGAAGCUCCCCGCCGACCUGGCCGAUAAGAGGUAUGUCCAAUUGAGCAAAAGGGGAUACAACUUCAACUUCUGCACAUGCUUCUUCCCAGGUCUCCCUGAUUGCUCCUUCGGCAGCUGAUUCCCCAAUUUCUAGGUAACCUGCUGGAAGAGUCCUAAAUGACAAAAACCAACUAUUACCAUGAUGAUGAACCUCAAGUACAAGAUGCUACAUUCGUUAUAACAAAAAGUUGCUAGUACCCCAGGUUGCUUAGACAUAAGUUCUUUUCCAAAAAGGCCCAAAUCAGUUGGCCCUUCAAAAUUAAAAGCUUUAUUUGUUAACAAACAUACCAGAGGCCAUACGACGGUUGAAUGUUCCUCUUGCAAAGUAGAACCAUGUUAUCAUGCUCAAUCAGACAUCCCACGACCUAUAAACAUCAGUUCAGCAGACAAUAUCAAAAUAUGAUGUCACAUUUGAAAGAAAACAAACUAUUCAAAAUGUACACAGCACAACUCUUAGGGACCAAAACAAAGAUUGAGAUAAGGUUUUGAACAUCACUAUGCAUGCAACAUUCUAAAACCAUUUCUGUCCGUUAUAUUAUAAUUUGUUUCUUCUAGGUUCCACAUUUUUUCACAUUUAUAAAAGUAAAACGAAGCACACCAGACCGAUUAAUAAUACUAUAACUAGACUUGUAACAAUAAUAUGUAAGUGAUGACCACACAUGCAUUCAAUAUCUAUUACAGAUUUACAGCAUAAGAUCCUAAGAAGCAAUGCUGAGUUGAAAACCAAGGUAGCUCUUGAAGUAUAAAAUUGUUAAGUUCAUCAGUUAAAGAAGUGAAGGAAUAACAUAGUUAACCUUCAUUUUCCACAAGACUACUACACGAUAUCCUACGUAGGAAAAUCGAGACAAAAGCAAAACAAUAGUCUUAGAAUAUCAUAUCUGAGAUUGUUCAACUCCUAUUGACUCGCACUAGUGUAAAUCCUAAUAAACAGACUGCACAACUGUACACCCACCCAAGAUAAACAAAACAAAAAACAAAAAAUUACUUAUUCCUGGAUUAACACAUAUGCAUAACUCAAUGAAAUUUCCAUUGCAAAGUAAACGCUUGAACAGCAUACCAUUUUUGGGUUCUCAUAGGCAAUCCUAUCACAAACUGUGCAAAUAGCUCUGACUUUCUCCUCUCCAUCAGGUAUCUCAUGCUUUGUUGCACCACCGCACCACUGGCAGAAAUUUAUCUUACGAGCAUUCCCCUUCACAGUAACAGAAACUAAAUUUGUAAAGGACAUCUACACAUGAUACAAUAAACAAAAUUCAAAAGCUUAAUAUGCAAGGUAAAUUGUGUUCCUAGACUAAAGUAAGUACAGCAAUUGAUGCGAGUGUCUGCUACGCUUCUAUAUAAAGUUGUUUGGUGGCGUAUAAUAGCCAAAACAGCUGAUCUUAAUGGAAAGCAUGUAGAUGAAGACUUGAUAAAGAAAAGCAGCAAAACUUUCACUACUAGAACUUGAAACGCAUGAUAUCAAAAGGGACAAUCUUUAAUAAAAGAUGCAUCCCAACUCAACUUUGCAAUGAAGAUGUCUCAACCAAAAGUUCCCCUAUUUACAAACAAAACAAAACAAAACUUGUUCAACCUCAAUAGAUAGCACAAACCCAAUUCACUAUAGCCAAUCAAGAUUCUCUAUCAAACAUUCAAUUACCCUGAAUUGAAUAAACAACAAAGCCACUUACAACUGACUGAACCACAGUUGGUGAAGAAGAAGAAGGGGCAGAUGGGGUUGACCCGGAAUGAGCCGAGGACAUACUGAAAGCUCGGAAACGGGUCCGGCGAGCUGAGUGUUCCGGAAAUAACAAAUGGGUUGCUCUCAAAGAAGAAAAAGAAUACGAAAAUGGUUUGGUGGAGAGGGAAGAAAUGAAGGAGAGCCUACAACAAGUGGUUCUAGUAGUUUGGGGCUUAACCAACCCAGAUGAACAGCCCAAGAUCUGUAUGGUUUUGAGCAUUAUAUGAUUUACUAUCAGGGAUUUUGAGACCAAGAUAUUGAGGAACAGAAACCGAAGACAAAUUGGUACACAGAGAAAGAAACGAAUUCAGAAACAGAGUGUGUGUUCCAUCAUCGGUUUUUGUUUAGAUGCUAUCGCUUUUGUUUUGUCCCUACGGAGUAGUGUCCCGCGUUUACUCGGUCAAUUUGCGCGAGUUUUAUCCGACUUAUCCUUGGUGGUCUUAGGAGACGAAGUGUUUUUCCAUAAUAUGUCCCGGGGCAGAUUAGUCUAUGAGCUCAUAAAGUUUUUACUUGUAUCAUUUAAUCUUGAUAUAGAUGAAUGAGUAAUGAUACAUACCAAAUUUUUUCACUAAAGAUGAAUACCAAAUGAUGUUGCUCUAGCCACACCCAACACCAUUGGUUUGAUAUAUAGGUGACAUGGAUCUUCUGUUUAACUGAAUAACAAAUUAAAAAAAAAAUCGAAAUACUUUAAUUUGCUUCUUAUUUAAAAUCUGAAACCCUAAAGUAAAUAAAAAGUUUUUAAGUCACAAACUUAGAAAGUAGAUGAGCGUUUGGUUUGCCAUAGUCCAAACUAGUGUUCGAGUGCUUACCAUGAUUCGGGUUGCUGCAUCUCCGAAGGAAAAAAUUGUUUUAUCAUCUAGUUGUAUACACCGAAGUCACGAUGUCAACGAUAACGAUUAAAAGUCGAUAAAUUUUGAUCGUGUAUAGAUUUAUUUUAUUUUUUUGGUAAUCUAGUUGAAGACGUCAAUCGUGUAUAGCUGAAGUCUAUGCAAUUAGGCUCAAACCCAGGAAAAUCUGAAGCCAUCAUAGACAUGGUAGAGUCUCCCAAAAAAAGAGUAACAUCACUGUAAGUGUCUAUCUCUGCCCACUUACGAUGAUAAGGCAUCCAACUUGAAAAUUUUGAAUCUUAUUGUAUCACGUGGCCGAUGUCGUCCAUGACGAACUUGCAUAUCUAAGAAUGAUCAACAGUCCUUUACCAUCACUUGACUGCAGCAUAUUUCUCUUCAAUAAGCCCACAAGUUCUUCAUCAAAACUUUCUGCAACGAUCGGCAUAUGUUAAAUUGAAUUGACUAGUAGUUAUGUGACUUAUGUCACAAGAAAAAACUCGGUUUAGAAAAUCAAGGCCAGGGUGUAUGGUGUAUCUUUAGCAUUAACAUUUUGAUAAUUCAUGCAUCAAUAUAAGUCCAUCUUGUAUCUUCAAUAUGAUCGGUUGGAAUGGGAUUUUUUGAAGAAAAUCAUGUUGAGGAUGGGAUUUGCUCCUACUUGGGUGGACUUGAUUAUGCAUCGUCUCUCUAUUGUUAGGUACUCUUUUUUUAUUAAUGGAGUGCCUAGGGGAUUUGUCACUCCCCAUUGAGGAUUGAGACAUGGUGAUCCCAUCUUACCUUAUUUGUUUAUGUUAUGUGCUGAAGGAAUAUCGGCUUUGAUUUCUCAGUCUGUUGCUCAGGGUAAUUAGCGUGGUUUGCAAGUCUGUGAUGGGGCUCCCAUGAUCAGUUUGCGGAUGAUAGUAUGUUGUAUGUUAAUGCUUCGCGGGACUGUAUUGUGAUUCGGGAUAUUUUAUCUACUUAUGAGAGAGCGCCUGGUAAAUGGGUGAAUCUCCAAAAGAGUAGUAUUGUGUUUAGCGAAAGUGUUGCAUCUCCGAUUCGGCAAACAUUAGCAGAUUGUUUGGGUAAGCAGCAGGUUGACAAGCAUGACAAGUACUUGGGCAUUCUUCUCUUAGUGGGUCGGUCAAAAAAUGACACUUUUGCUUAUAUUAAAGAUAACUUGUCUAAGAUUCUGACGACAGAAGGUCAAAACUAUUGAGUGCUGCAGGUAGGAAAAUUCUUAUAAAGGUAGUGGCGCAGGCUGUGCCGUUGUAUACCAUGAAUAACUACCUACUACGUCAACAUUUGAUUCAGGAACUACACCAAUUGUGUGCCCAAUUUCGGUGGGGAGGAACAGAUGAGAAAAAAGGUAUGCAUUGGAGAGCAUGGGAUAAGCUUUGUAGACCGAAAGCAGAAGGAGGUAUGAGUUUCAGACACCUAUUUACUUUUAAUCUUGCAAUGUUAGCCAAACAUGGUUGGCAUUUGAUACAAAACCUAGAUUCCCUUCCGAGCAGAUUACUGAAGCUAUUUACUUUCCACAUUCUAAUUUUUGGAAUGCUGAGUUGGGUAACUCUCCGUCAUAUGCAUGGAGAAGUAUCCUAGAGGGAAGAGACGCUCUGCGAUAUGGAGUCAGGAGACAGAUUGGAGAUGGACAAUGAACAAGUGUUUGGUUUGACCCAUGGUUAAAAGUUGUUGAUCUGAAGCAUUAUUUGUCUGACGAAGCUACCAUAGUGGCAGACCUUUUUUGCAAUCCAGGUAUGUGGAACAUCCCACUACUUACUGAGUUAUUCCCAGUUUAGAUUGUAGAAAAGAUUUUUGCUCCACUUAUUAGUAAUCGAGGGUACCAAGAUAGAUGGAUUUGGGGGGAGGAAAAGAAAGGAAGGUUCACAGUCCGUACAACCUAUCAUUUAGCUAGGCGUCGAGUAUUGGAUGAGCAUUCAAUGGUUUCUACCCUAGUUCCACUCUAUGGAAUAAGUUAUGGACCACCUAAGUCCUAGAGGAAUUUAAUAUAUGUGUGUGGAAAGCUGCUUCUAAUAUUCUACCUACACGAAGUCGAAUUAGUGAACGCGGUAUUGACAUCGAUACCCGAUGUCCAUUUUGUGAGGAAGAAGUAGAAUCACCUUUUCAUACACUUCGUGAUUAUGAACAUGCAACCUCUUUUCUACAAUUGGCAGUGAUCCCGCAAAUGCAGCGAUCCCGCAAAUGCAGCAAGCCUCACUUGUUCAUGAUUUGUUAGUGGCUUUCUCUUCUAUACACCAAAACUCUUUUAAUACUUUGAUGAUGAGUAUGUGGGCUAUUCAGUGUAAUCGAAAGGCAAAAGUUUGGGAGAAUGAGGUAAAACAAGCUUAUGAAGUGGUUCCUAUUACUUUGGGAUGGUGGGAAGACUUUAAGGCUACCCAUUUGUCGACAAGGCUGCCAAGACAACUUUCAGUAGCACAUUGCCAACGUCCCACUACAAGUUAUGUAAAACUAAAUGUAGAUGCCUCUUUUCAUCAUCUAGAUAACACUACUAGUCUAGGUGGAGUUUUCAUAGAUGAUACAGGGAGUUGUCUUGGUGUUUUCUCCAUCUUCCUAUAUCAGUCAAACUCUCCAAGCCAUGGAAAACUUCUGGCUCUCUUGGAAGGUGUCCGGUUGGCCAGAGAACAUGGUUUUGUUCCUCUUUUGGUGGAAACAAAUUGUCAGGUUUUGGUGGAUGCUGUCAACACGGGGUCUAUGGAUGGCUCAAGAGUUAGGAUUCCUACUGAAUGAUCUCAGGGAUAGUUUAUUACUUGCCUCUUCUGCAAGACUUAGCUUUGUCAGAAGAAAUUCUAAUAGAGUUGCACAUGCCUUAGCGCAGAUAGCGAUACAGAGUAGAACUAGUAUAUGUAUUUCAUCUGUCUCUCCUCAGCCUGUUGAGGAGCUUAUUUCUUCCGAAUGUAAUGAUCAUUGAUUAAUGAAGUUAUUUAUCAAUGAAGUUAUUCCAUUCUCUCAAAAAAAAAAAAAGUCUAAUAAAAUCCAACCGACAACGAUCUACAUAUAUGACCAUAACGAUCCAAUUUUUGCAUUUGAGACUGGAUCGGCAGAAAUGAUAGCCUUGUAAACAAAACAUUCAUGAUAAUUAGUCUUAUUUUGUUCAUCAUACUAGAGGGGGGAGUGGAGGAAGGGCAACAUAUGAAUUUCCUCUUAGGUCUCCUCCUUAUAACUCGACAUAAUUUAUAAAGGCUGCAAUGAAAUUCUUUUAGAAAACCUGCAAAAAAGUGUGUUUGGCAUUUUCAAUUGCAAAUCAAUUCAUCAUGUCUCAUAAAUUCUAUCUUUCCUCUUGACCCAAAUAAGUUAAGAGCAUUGGAACUGAGAGCUUGUAGACUAUCCUUGGCUACAAAAUUCCACGACCUACAAACAUCACUAAACCGCACAAAGUAUGAUAAUGCCGGUGAUCGAUGUAAAAUUGAAUCCAAGAGGUUAUCAGGCAUUUCUGCCGAAUCUAAGGAUCCCAUAACUUGACAUCUACAAUAAGAUGGAUCUAAUUGUAAGUUCUCAAAUAUGAGGUAUUAGGUACGUUCUCAAAUUUGAGGUUAGGUAGAAAGGGAGUACAACCUUUCUUCUUAAUUAGAGCCUUUGGAAGAUAUCCCAUCCCAAACAAGUCCUUCCUUUCUUGCUAUUCGUUCAUAUAUUUAGUCAUACAUAUUUAUGACACGUUUAUUAACUUAGAAUGAGAAAUAUUAUGAAUCGGAAUCAAUUAGAAUAAAAGAUGGAAUGAAUUGGUAUGAGAAUAUUUCGUUUCCAUUCAGCUGUUUAUUACUUACAGUACACUUCUUCUUCUUUGAACUAAUUUCAGUGUACUCUCAUCAACUUUAGGUCAAUCAUCAUGUUAAUCAUUUUUCUUUCAAUUUCAUCAAAAACACCCCUUAACUCUUAAUUUUCAUCAGCCAUGUCCAAGUCUCCGUUUUCCAUCCAAUUCAUCCGUCAAGUGACGACGUGGCAUCAAGAAGAAAGACAAAUUCCGAAAAUAACCUUUCUGACUAUUUUCCUCCCAUAUCGAUGCACAUCCUUGUUCCCAUCACAACCCCCUAACCUUAGUGAUUUUGGUGGGAUUGAAAACAACUUGUCUAUUUUGCCAUUUUUCUGUGGGCCCAACGACUUCAAAUUUACCGGCUCUGCGAUCAAUCGGGUUCUCUGGACACCUUCCGGCAGGCUCAUCACCGGCUCCCAAAACGGCGAGUUCACUCUUUGGGAUGGCCUCUCGUUUCGCCAUGAAUUGACCCUUGAGGAGGCUCAUGAUCAUUCCAUCAGGUCCAUGGUGUGGAGUUUUGAACAUGAAGACUGGAUCUUUGGUGAUGAUGGGGGAUGCAUCAAGUACUGGAAGAGCAACAUGACCAAUGUGCUUGUCAAAGAAUCUGCUCAGCAGGAAGCCGUUCGCGACUUGAGCUUCUGCAGGACUAAAUUUGAAGUUCUGCUCCUGUUCGGAUGAUACACUUGUUAAGGUCUGGGAUCAUGAAACGUGCCAAGAAGAGAACAGAUUGACUGGCCAUGGUUGGAAUGUCACCAGUGUCGACUGGCACCCUACAAAGUCUCUGGUAGCCUCUGGUGGGAAGGACAGUGUUGUCAAGCUGUGGGAUGCUAGGACAGCAAGAGAGCUUUGCUCUUUUUAUGAUCACAACAGUUGGGUGAACUCUGUCAAGUGGAACCAAAACGGUAACUGGCUCCUCACAGCUUCCAAAGAUCGGCUCAUCAAGCUUUUAUGACAUAAGGUCUAUGAAGGAGCUCGAAUCAUUCCGCGGCCAUGGCAACCAAGUCACUGCUCUAGCGUGGCAUCCUUUAGAUGAAUGCUAUUUUGUCAGUGGGGGUGGUGAUGGAUCCAUCUUUCAUUGGCUUGUUGGGGAUCAAACUCCCCAGGUUGAAGUUCCUAAUGCACACACUAGCAACGACUAUAAUAACAGUGUGUGGGAUCUGCAGUGGCAUCCUAUGGGUCAUAUGCUUUGCAGUGGCAGCAAUGAUCGCACUACUAAGUUUUGGUGUAAAAGUAGACCUGGAGAUGAACCUAAUAUGAAUGAGAAUCAAAGUGUUGGUGUUCCAAAUUCUGCUUUUGCUGCUCCCAUGUCCUGCAAUUUUCCUUUUACAUUGAAUAAAGGACUAUCAUCACUUGCUUCUAAGAAAGAAGGAUUCAUUAUUCCAGGUCUUGGAAUUGCUAUCUAAAACAAACAUAAUUAAUCUUUGCCAUUGACAAAGAAGCAAGAAAAAAAGUAAUCACCUUGGCCACUUCAAACAAGAAGAUACAAAGAGAGAAAACCAAAUUAAUCACAUUGGCUACAUGCCUACAUCACACUAGAAAAUACCACAACAAAAAAAAAAAAAAAAAAAAAAAAACGUACCGGUGGGGAUUCUUGAACUACGAGUGGCCUUGAUCCCUCCUAAAGGGUAUGUAGACAACCCAUUCAAAUGUCCGGGUGCAGCNNNNNNNNNNNNNNNNNNNNAAAAAANAAAAAAAAACACACACCCAUUUUGUUACUUUCUUUCAUAUGAAAUCAAAGGGUCUUUCCCGUUAAAAUAAGGGGUUGUAAUUGAGAGAUAUUUUCAUCUUGAAUUGUUCGAACAUAAAAAAAAGACCAAAUGUUCCAUACCAAUGAACAGUUUCCAGCCAAAAGAGACCAACUUCAUUUUCUUCACUACAAGAAAACUGACUGUUCAAUCAACUGUCUGAAAAAUAAAAUUUGCCAUUUUCAAAGGUCCCCAGAUGCCUUCAGUUAAUCUAUGAUCUAACUAGUGGUUUCCCCUCCAAGCAUAGAGCAAGAAGGCAAUGCUGACGCAUUCUGAUACUCAGAGAAAUCUUUACUUCCAGAAGAUUAUAGGAUUGGAUCAGCUAGUACCCACAUUUCCAAAGUCAACUCAAGGGAACAAUGAUUUAGCCACUCCAAAACAGUAGCAUGAACAUUAUUCCAACUAAAGCAUGUUUGAUCUAAAACAUGAUUAAACUGUAUAACACUUCUUACUUCUAACAUAGGCACAAUCUCUACACAGGUGAAUGGUUGAUUCUCCAAGAGCAAAAACGGCCGACCGGUUCUUCAGUGGUUCCCUUGCUCUUGAAAAUAGACUUGUAUAUUUCUCGUAUCCACGCCAAUUAAGUCGUGGCAAAAUCCAACUGUAGUUUCUCAAAUGCCUGAAUAUAAGCAUGGAAAUUUGCACUUAGCACCUUGUUCAUUGUGUCGAUGUAUGCUCCACGAACUUCAAUGUAUACCUCCUUUCCAUGUUCCUUGAGGAAUGAAAUAACAUACUUGUACUUUAGGAGAACAUUCUGUUGAAGAAUCUGGAUAUUUGUUUUAGGUUUUCUCAAUGCAUAAAGCUUCUGAACAAUGAAGUCAAACACCUUGGAAACUGCUUUCUGUCUAUGUUUUUCGAGCUCGGGCUGAACAUCUUUGAGAGCUUUUGUAGAUUUAACCAUAAGAUCCGCUUCAACAAACUUCAGCUUCUUGCCAAGACUUUCAAGACUCUAGAGUUCUCAUAUAUUCAUCGUUCACCUCGCCAUCACCAAUUAUGUUUACCACCCUUGGAGGGAUUAUAAUGUCUUCGACAAAUUUUGCCAAAUUUGACUCAGCCACCUUGCGAUUCUUCAACUUUAAGCCCAUAUCCAUAGAUUUCUCCUGGAGAAUUUUGAUGUCGGAACUUAUUGAACCCAUCUCUGCCUGAAAUCCACUGAGUAGAGUUUCCAUCUGCGAAGAGAUAUACUAGUUUAUCACUUUUUUUUUAUUUGAACUGUCAGACUUUAUUGAAAAAAGAAGUAUCAAUUACAUAUGAAAAGUGUUAAAGUGAGAACAGUGCUACGAACUCAAAUGAAACAAUUUGGAUUUGGAUGACUUAAUCAUCUUAUUCAACAAUCUUGGCUUUAAAUAGCCUUACAUCUGAAACUGAACUCCUACAUAUCUGCUAUUGUAUAGCAGCACAACUAACCAACUUGAACGAAACAACCCUAUUAAACAGACUCCUAAAGUCUAGGAUUUAUUGACUAAAGACCAAGUAAACAAGGACUCAGUAAACCCUAAGCCCUGAAAAUAUGAAACCACCUCCUUCAUUCCCUCCCUUAAACUAACCUGAGUUAACAGUUAGUUUACUUGAUGCUGCACAAACACCGAGGUUCAGCUCGAAGCUUUCGAAAACGAUCCAGCUUUAAAGGCUUUGUAAGAAUAUCAGCAAUUUGUUCUCCUGUUCCACAAUGUUCCAAUACGAUCACUCCAUCUUUAACCAAGUCUCUCAAAAAAUGGAAACGCACAUCAAUAUGCUUGCAUCUUCCAUGAAACACAGGAUUUCUUGACAACUUGAUUGCUGAAGCAUUGUCACACAGAAGUGUUGUGCCUCCAUCCAACUUGUAUCCUAGCUCCUCUAGGACUCUUCUCAUCCAAAUAGCCUGACAUGCACAUGAUGCAGCUGCAAUGUAUUCGGCCUCUGUUGUUGAUAAAGUAACAAUGGCUUGUUUCUUUGAUGACCAAGCUACUGCUCCACUGCUCAGCAGAAACAAAUAACCAGAAGUGCUCUUUCUUCUAUCAACAUCCCCUGCAUAAUCACUGUCAGUAUAAACUCUCAAUCCUGCAGCCCCAUCACUUGCAUCUUCCCCAAAAACCUUAUGUCCUUCAUUUUCACUUCGACUGUACCAUAUGCCGUAGUCCAGUGUUCCUUUCAAAUACCUCAAAACUCUCUUGGCUGCCUUGAAGUGCAUUUGUGUAGGUCUGGACAUGAAACGACUUAACAAGCUAACCACCAACUGCAAAUCUGGUCUAGUAGAAGUAAGAUACAUCAAGCUUCUGACCAUUUGCUUGUAGAGUGUCUCAUCCAUCCUUUCGCCUUCUUCAUCACUGCUCAAUUUACUACCUGGAACAAUCAGAUUAUGAACUGGAUUAUAUUCUUCCAUCCCAAAGCGUCGUAAAACCUCCACUGCAUACUUGUACUGACAAAUAUGAAUUCCAUCUUGCUUCUGCAUUACUUUUAUGCCAAGAAAGAAUCUCAUCUUUCCUAGAUCAGUCAUAUCAAACUCCUUUUGCCUUGAGCUCUUAAAAUCUUCCAUCAUUAAAGAAUCAUUACCAGUAUAUAUAAGAUCAUCGACAUAAACACUGAUAAUGAGAACUUUACCUCCACUGCCUCUCUUGAUAAACAAAGUCUGCUCAUUCUGACUUCUCUGAAAACCUUCAUUGACAAAGUAAGACUCAAUACGACUAAACCAAGCUCUAGGUGCUUGUUUUUGUCCAUAUAAAGCCUUAUGAAGCUUGUACACCUUGUGUUCACUGCCUUUGAUCACAUAGCCCUUGUUGUUCAACAUAAACAUCUUCCUGCAAUGCUCCAUGUAAGAAGGCCGAUUUAACAUCAAGCUGAAAUAUCUUCCAGCCAUUUUGAGCAGCUUUAGCAAUGACCAUUCUCACAGUAUCCAUCCGAGCCACUGGAGCAAACACUUCUGUAAAAUCUAUCCCAUGCUCCUGGGAGUAACCUUUUGCCACCAAACGAGCUUUAAGCUUGUCUACUUUUCCACGUUCAUUCAGCUUUGUUUUAUAAAUCCAUUUGAUACCAAUGCAUUUAGCUCCCUUUGGUAACUCAGUAAGCUUCCAAGUCAGGUUCCUUUCAAUUGCUCUUAUUUCAUCAUCCAUGGCUUGUUUCCAUUCCUCACUCUUCUCUGCCUCUUCAAAGGUUGAAGGAUCACAAUUGUCUAGUUCCACCAUAUUGAGCUCCAUCAUGUUUGCCUCCUCUUCAGUUAGUUCUGAAAGCUCCACUCUGGUAACGUAGUCAUUAAGAUAAGGCUGCGGCCUUCGUACUCGUCCAUCCCUUGCUUCUGCAACAUUAGUUCCAUUGCCUAUGUUUCCUCUCAACAACCCUUCUUCUCUCUCUUGUGCAUCACUACUGUUUUCUCUCAAAUCCCCUUCUACUCUCACUCUUGUGUUUCCCUAUGUUUCAUCACCAUUCCCAUUCUCACUCUCAUCAUCUCCCUCUUCACUGUUUUCAUCAUCACUCCAAACCAAUUCUUCCCCAAUAUCAUAAUUCUCUCCCCAAUCCCAACUUUUUUCUUCCUCAAACACCACAUCUCUACUCACUACCACUUUUUUGUUCUUCGGAUCAAAUAAUUUGUAAGCUUUAGACUCCUCACUCACCCCUAUAAGAACACAAGGAAAGCUUUUGUCAUCAAGUUUACCUCGCUUAGCUUCUGGUAUGUGAACAUGACCUAUGCAGCCCCAAACUCGAAAGUGUUCCACAGAAGGAUUGACUCCAUUCCAUGCCUCCCUUGGUGUUACAUCCUUGACAGCUAAGGUAGGUCAUCUGUUCAGAACAUAAAACGUCCACUUCACAGCCUCAGGCCAGAAACUUUUAGGAACUUUCUUUGCUGACAACAUGGAUCUCACCAUAUUCAUGACUGUCCGAUUCUUGCGCUCAGCGACACCGUUUUGCUGUGGCGUGUAGGCAGUUGUAAGUUGUCUCUGGAUUCCAUGCUCUUUUCAAAAAUCUUUGAAAGCAUUAGAGUUGAAUUCUCCUCCUCUAUCUGUUCUCAAGCACUUAAUCAGCUUCCCUGUUUCUUUCUCGACAAGACUCUUGAACAACUUGAAACAACUUAGGGCUUCUGACUUCUCAACAAGUAGAUACACCCAUGCUUUACGACUGAAAUCAUCUAUAAAGCACAAAGUAUACCUUUUCCCACUGUUAGAAGCAGGCGUGAUCGGACCACAUAUGUCUGAGUGAAUAAGCUCCAAGACUUCUCUUGCUCUCCACGAACUCUGCUUAGGAAUUGGAUUCCUGUGUUGCUUGCCAACUAAGCAAUCUGUGCAGGUGAUGUUUGAUGCUUCAAACUGAGGUAAGUCACGUACUAUCUUCUUAUCUUGCAGUGUCUUCAAACCUUUAUAGCUUAGAUGACCAUAUCGUUCAUGCCAAAGCUGUGACAAGUUCAUGGAACUCGUAUGCAAGCAGCUGACAGGUUGCAUACUCAAGGAGGACUGAACUUGUGUUAUCAAUACAAACAUCAUGUUAGCACUCAUCACACUUUGAACUAGUAAACCUCUUUCUGGAUGAAAGAUUUUACACUCCACCUUGAAUCAGAAUGGCCAAACCCUUUUCUUGAAGUUUCCCUAUGCUCAAAAGAUUAUUCUUGAGUUCGGGUACAUAGUACACAUCACUUAUCACAAAAGCAACUCCCUUCAUAGUCAGUCUGACACUCCCCUUUCCGGCUACUUGCAUUCUGGUAUUGUUUCCAAGCUUAACUGAAUGAUUGAACUUAUCAUUUAAGCUAGAAAACAUACUCUUGUCUCCACACAUGUGAUUAGAACAUCCUGAAUCCAAGAACCAGACAUCACCCCUUUCUGCUUCACAUUCUUCCACCAAAGACAUCAACAGUAGCUCUUCAGUUUCAUCCAGUUCAGCAUAGUUAGCUUCCUUGUUCCACUUUGGACAUUCAUACUGAAAAUGACCGAGAUUAUGACAUUUAAUUUGAAGCAUUCCACAGCAGCUUUGUUGAACAUCUGUCUGCCUCGGCCUUGUCCUCUACCUCUCAUGCUUGCUCUUCCACGGCCUCUUACUCCAAAUCUGUCCUCAUGACUCAUUUUCAAAACUUGAUUUUCUCCUUUGUCAUGCCUCUGAAACUUCUGCUCAUGAAUUACAAGUGAGCUUUGUAGUUCAUCAAUUGAGAUGGACUCAGUGUUCUUGGAUUCUUCUAUGGAUAUCACAACGUAUGUGAAUCUUUCUGUGAGAGUUCUGAGAACCUUUUCCACCACCUUUGACUCCGGCAUCUCCUCUCCAUUGCUUCUCAUCUUAUUCGUUAUUGCCAUAACUCGAACAAAAUACUCCGAGAUGCUCUCACUAUUCUUCAUCUCCAGUACUUCAAAAUCCCUCCUUAAUUUUUGAAGGAUUGAUUUUUUGACACGAUAAUUCCCUACAAACUUGAUCUUCAUGGACUCCCACACAAUCUUAGCUGUGCGUCUAUCAAGUAUCUGCUCAAAGGUCACUCGAUCAAUUGCUUGAAAGAGAUACCUCUUAACUUUAUGAUCUUUGGCUCUUGCAUCUUCGAGCUGCUCCCUCUGUGCCUCAGUGAGCAGUGCUCCAGCAGUUGGCUCGUCAAAGCCAUUCUCCACCAAACUCCAUAGCCCUUUUGAUUUCAACAGAUUCUCCAUCAGCUCACUCCAAUAAUCAUAGUAGUGACCAUCGAAGAGCGGAACUUUCAUCUUCUCUUCACUCAUCUUUCUGUGUAUCACUCAAGAACGCUGCUGCUUCUUUUUCUCAGGCCCAGUGGGGGCUCUGAUACCAGAUUGUUAAAGUGAGAACAGUGCUACGAACUCAAAUGAAACAAUUUGGAUUUGGAUGACUUAAUCAUCUUAUUCAACAAUCUUGGCUUUAAAUAGCCUUACAUCUGAAACUGAACUCCUACAUAUCUGCUAUUGUAUAGCAGCACAACUAACCAACUUGAACGAAACAACCCUAUUAAACAGACUCCUAUAGUCUAGGAUUUAUUGACUAAAGACCAAGUAAACAAGGACUCAGUAACCCUAAGCCCUGAAAAUACGAAACCACCUCCUUCAAAAAGUAUCAGCUGCAAGAGCAGUUAGAAGGAAGAGAGGUGCAGUAAAAUAAAAGGUCAUUUGUGAGAGAUGUCUAGAGUGAGCAGCCAUUAGAUGGGCUGCUGUGUUAGUACUGUGUUUUGCAUGUGCCAUCUGUAUAGGUCUAUCACCCUGCAGCAGGAGACCUACAUCUUCGUACAACCUUCCCAGCACAGAAAAAUUACCAACUUGCUUAUUAAUGAGUUGGAGAGAAACCAAUUGCGCAUCAGUUUCUAUCACUGCAGGAGUGAAAUUGUUGGCUAGCACAAACUCUAUAGCUUGUUUACAAGCUAAUAUUUCCACAUGCUCAACUGACAAGAUACCUGAUAAUCCUAGUUUAUCACUUUCUUCAAUAUAAUCCUGGAUGAUCGAGUCCAGUUCAACUUUUCGUUUGUUGUUCUCAACCCCCUUUAGUUUCGUACCCUUAAGGCAAAAUAUUCGCAACAUCGUAAAUCAAAUUUAAGUGAUAAGUUUGUAAAUAAAAUAAAAAUGUAUGAAUAAGAAAAUAAAUAGGAUGUGUUAAUAGCAAAAAAGGGUGUGCUAAUAGCAAUAUCCUAGAUAUAUUGGAGUUAAAUGUAAUACUAUAAAGUAAGAAAAUAUGUAAUCCAUAUUAUACACGUAAUAAAUUUACAACUCUUGGAACGAAUAGGAAAACAACCUUUUUUGUUAACCAAUAAAAAAAACUUUGAACGUCACCAAUUCCAUACUGCUACCUCUCUUUAUUUGGUAAAUAUAUUAUCUUGUUAAUUUCUCAAAAACAAAUCUUUAUUACCCUGUCAAAAAUAAGAAAAAGUACAAUAAUAGUUACAACAAGAAAAUAAAAUAGUAUGCCUUCUUACUUCCAGCAAUGAAAGGUCGCCUGGUACCGCCACGGCGCCACCAUAGGAGGAUUAUUGCACCCGCUGCCCUUUCACCAUACAAACAUCCCUCUUUUCUGGCUCUUUCAUUAAAAAAUUCCACUAUGAAUUUCAGUUACUCUCCCUAUGGGGGACCCUAAAGGUAAAUCUACCAACCUCCUCAGGUCAUCCGGGCAUCUGGGGUUUAAGCCUAAAAGAACUACCACAGCAUCAUUAAAAUGUGAUGAUAAGUUAUAUCUACCUGACUAAGAGCAUAUGCAGUUUAACAAAACUAGCAGAGUUGGAGAAUCCUCAGUUCAUAGCCAAUUUAUCACAUAAAGAUUGAUAAGCUGUGCUGCAAUGCUUGAACUUUUCCUCUGCAGCAGCCUGCAGUACCACAAGUAAAUUCCAAACUACUUGAGUCAGGUGCAAACAAUACCCCAAAAUUUCCGCUUACAACUGGUAAAUUAGGACAACUUGUAAGUUCUAAAAUAACAAGGCAAUUCAAUAUAUAACCGUAAUGAAUGGUCAGAGCAUGCUGAUACCUUGGAAGAGCCCUGGUGACGAUCAGGAUGCCAUUUCAGUGCACAGGUUCGAUAUCUGAAAUUGUGAAAGUGUGAAGGAUUAGAUGGUGUGGAAAGACCAACAUAUGUGAGUGGACAAGCGUGAGCAAGUGGUAAAACAAGGAGAUUCUGCUAAAAAAACUCACGCAUUUUUGACAUCUUCAAGUUUCAGAGGGCCUGCAGCACUCAAUCCAAGGGCCAACCUCUCCUCUGACUCGGAAUUGUCAGAAUCAGAUUCAUAUCGUUCUUCAUUACGAUGUCUCCAACUCCAAGAUUUUCCAGAGUGAUUAGAGUAAUAUGAAGAGCUCCUCUGCUGUGAAUCGUCUUCAUUGACGAAUGACCAGUAAACGAAUCCACUCCCACCAAACCUGGACUGGAAAAUGGUCUCUAAAUCUACAUAAUCUUCACAAAAGUCGAAACCUCCUGACAUAGUGUUCCAAAUGCAGUUAGAUUAUAUGCAACUUCAAGGAUGAUGCAAAGUAAUCAAGACAUAAAUGCAUCAAUUAUGGAAGAAUAUAAGUACCUAUUUAUAACCCUAACAUAUAAGAGAUGGUCCACUAAGAAAACCCCCAACAAAAGUACAUCCAGUGGUCUUCGUCGACCAAAAGCGCACUUAAGCCCACAUGAAAACAUUUUCCCACUAUGCAAUGUUCUUAUAAGAUUUGGCGAAAGAUGUUUCCUAAAUAAAACCAUGAGAAGACCCGAGUGGACAUAGAAGUCUUAGCUAUUCUUUUACUGCAUGAAUACUUACUUCUGCCCCAGCUGGAGGCCCCUUGAUUGCCUCCCCAUUUCUUUUUGGGGCCCUUGGCUGAGUAUUGCUUUUUAAACCAUGAAGUGCCUCUACUAGAAGAUGGCUCAUUCAAAUCAUAGGGAUUUUGCCAUUUCUGCAGCAUUUAAAAGAUAUACAGAAGACGAUCAAAAAACAGAAAGAUGAGAAGUUUGCAAACAGUCACUAAUUAAUCAUCAAUGCAUAAAUAAGAAGUGACCAGGACAAUAUUAAAAAAAAAAAAAAAAAGAGCAAUCCAUGAGGAUAAGCAAAAGCGAUGAAAAGAAGCCAAACUAUAUAGAAACAUGUUAAAGAAGAGACAAUCUAAGAAGAAAAAGCCGAAACUUCAAGAAUAAUCUAGCACAAUUGAAAAUUGAAUCAUGUCUGGAACAAGAUUUGACAAGGCCCCCAAUCUAAAAGCUUAACAAUGAAUGCAAUAAAGCAACAGAUACUCUACUGAUUACAAUAUGAGAAAAGGUAAUAACAAAGAUGGGGAACCUGAAAUAGGAAGUUUGCAUAAUCAUUGACAUUGCGCAAUAAUGUUUGCUUUCCAUGUAUCCUUCUGGACCUUUUUGAAUAGUUGUCGUUUCUCUGGAAAUAAGCAGUUAUAAGUACUUAACAUAAUUUUCAAUCACUAUCAGAAAGAAGAGAAUCUUAGGUAUUGCAAAUCCAAAGGAAAAAAACAAACAUAAAUGAACCUAAUAAAAAUUUCAGACAUCCCAUAUAUCUAAAGAAGAAAAAGAAAUAUCCGCAACUUAAGCAUAAUGACAGUGACCUGAUAAUCAGAAAUAUAUGAAAGAUUAACACAAUGUUUUUAUGAAACCUACUGUUGCUAACAGCCUACAAAAUUUCCAAGUAGUAACUGAGGAAAAGUAACAUUCUAACAAAGAGCGCAAUACAAGAAGCUAGAGAUUUGAAGGACCAGCUUGGUUGAGCUGCCAGCUAUUAUGUGAUUAAAGAGUGAGGGGAAAUGUCAUAGUGUGUGAUGUUAUGUUGGUUGCAGGAUGUUCAUUGAGCCAGUCACCUCUUAUAAACCAAGCAGUUAGGAUCAAUGGUAACUUCAGUUACCCAUCUACAAAAAUCCUAAUAUCUCUGGAUUCACUACCUAAUAUAAGAAAUUUCCAAAACAUGUUUAGAAAUACAUAUUAUAUUAGCAAACAAAAUCCUGAAAAGAACUCUAGCAAGAUAUUAGUAUGAUGAAAAACAUUAGAAGAUGGAGAUGGAAGGAGAGGAAACUGACUUUACUAGAGAAGAUGAUGGAUGACAGAAGAUUUUAGUUUGAAAUGCCCGACUUUAUAUGAGGAUAACUAAAAGGAUUAGGAUUGUCACAAGUGUAAUGUGAUAAAUGUCUUGAUUAAGGAUAACACUAUAUCUACUACCUGACCAGGAUUAUCAAUUUAUAAUUAUCAAAGUUCUUUUGAGUAAAAAAACUACCCUGGAUAGUAACUAAUAUGUGCUGCUGGUCUCUAGAACGAACAAAAUACAUCACAGUUGCCAAGUAAAAAUUAAAAGUGAUGACUGAUAGUUUGUCAAUGCAAUCCACAGGUUUACCAUCAAAUAAGAAAGCUAAUAGACACAUAAUUUAAAUUAUCUCGUUGAAAACGAGGAUUUCAUAUUUGAGUUUGACAACACUGAAGAAACUUAUAGAGUCCCUUCAACAUAGCACCACAAUCUCUUAACACUCCACACAAUGUAGCACUAUAGGGGGAGGAUAGAAAAAUAAAAAAGAAUACAAGGUAUCUAGAAAGUCAUAUUUACAUCACAUAAUACAGAUGUAUCCAUACUCUUGAUAUCAAAAUAACAUUGAUGGAUAACUUUGAGUGUUCACUCAACGUCAUUGUUUAGUUAAUUUCCAACUAACUCAAAGUGCGAGGUAUACAUUACUGAAUGUAGAACCUAAUGAGGCAGAAAUGUGGUUGAACUUUACUGGUUUAAGAAAGCUUGAACUUUUACCAUAAAACUUAAACCCAUUCGAGAUAAAAUGCAGAAAGUCAAUAAACUUAUCUUCGACCCAGAAGCACCUAAGAAACCCACGUUCCCCUCUAGUAGAUUCCCAAUACAAAAUCAUUACUUUUCCACUCCCACAUGAUUUUCAUAGCCAAACCAAGAACAGCAACCAACACAAUGCCAAUAUUUCUAGAUUCUCAUCUUAAACCAUACAAUUGUGGCAUACCCAAAUCGCCAAAAAGGCUUAAACUUUAGCAGAUAUCACUAGCCUUAAACAAAAUGGAAAGUGACCCGGAAAUAUAUAAACGUAGAUGAAUACAGAGAGAGAGGCUUACGGGUGAUUCCCAGUAGUUGUUGCGUCUUUUACGAUCCAAAACGGUGGUUGAGUGAAAGAGGACACUCCUCACAUAAACGGAGUAGUUCAGCUUUGAAUUUAAGAGAGCCGUUUUCAUGGCGCUAUUCAUUUUUUUUUUUUUUGUUUCUCUUCUGAGAAUUGAGGAGAGGCUCAGAGAGAGCGAGAAGGAGGAAGUAGCAGAGGUGAAAGCCCCACGGCCCUGAAGCUACGCUUACGCUAUGCCGACUGUUGUUGGGAAACCAGAUGACCCGACCCGGAAGAUGUUAAGUUGGGACUUGGGGGAUUACAUAUUGGGUUUGUACUUUCCAUGCCACAAGUUUGGGUUGGGUUUUGUUUCUAUGACUUUCUCAUGUGAUGGCACCAAAGGGGAAAAGUAGUGAAAGACUGAAAACGAUUUGAAGACAUGUUUUCAUCGUUCGGUAUGUUUACUUAUUUAGAAUAAAAUUCAUCAGGAAUAAGAGAUAAAAAGAAUGAGAGACAAAAUAAAAUAAUAUGUGGAGCUUUCUAUUUCAUUGAGCCGUUUACUUACUAUAUAGAAUUAGAAUAGAAAUGUAAUUGAAUAUGAUUUUAAUUACUAAAAUACUCAUGAAAAAGACAGCUACAUAUUUCAAUCACUACCAACACAUUUUAAUUACUACUAUCAGCUCUACUUAUCGCCUCAUUAAUAAGAAGUCAUGCUCCAGCUGUCCAAGAAGUUUGGACUCUAUUAGAUGGAUUCCUCCAGCUCCUAACUGGUUUAAGUUGAACUUUGAUGGCUCAGUAUCUUCCAACUGAUCGGUUGCUGGUUUUAUUAUAAGAGAUUCUUCUGGCUCCCCCAUUGUAUCAGGUGCAUGGAAGCUUCACAACUUCUUAGUUCCACUAUCUAAAUGUAUUGCUCUAAGAGAUGGGCUCCUCGCUGCUAAAAGACGCAAUUGUCAUCAAAUUGAAGUAGAAGGAGACUCGUUCCUCAUCAUCAAUUAUGUCAAAAGAGUUAAAUAAGGAACUUCACACGUUAAUUUCAAAACGAAGCUUCGCUCUGAAUAAGAACUAUAUAUAUAUAUAUAAANNNNNNNNNNNNNNNNNNNNNNNNNNNNNNNNNNNNNNNNNNNNNNNNNNNNNNNNNNNNNNNNNNNNNNNNNNNNNNNNNNNNNNNNNNNNNNNNNNNNNNNNNNNNNNNNNNNNNNNNNNNNNNNNNNNNNNNNNNNNNNNNNNNNNNNNNNNNNNNNNNNNNNNNNNNNNNNNNNNNNNNNNNNNNNNNNNNNNNNNNNNNNNNNNNNNNNNNNNNNNNNNNNNNNNNNNNNNNNNNNNNNNNNNNNNNNNNNNNNNNNNNNNNNNNNNNNNNNNNNNNNNNNNNNNNNNNNNNNNNNNNNNNNNNNNNNNNNNNNNNNNNNNNNNNNNNNNNNNNNNNNNNNNNNNNNNNNNNNNNNNNNNNNNNNNNNNNNNNNNNNNNNNNNNNNNNNNNNNNNNNNNNNNNNNNNNNNNNNNNNNNNNNNNNNNNNNNNNNNNNNNNNNNNNNNNNNNNNNNNNNNNNNNNNNNNNNNNNNNNNNNNNNNNNNNNNNNNNNNNNNNNNNNNNNNNNNNNNNNNNNNNNNNNNNNNNNNNNNNNNNNNNNNNNNNNNNNNNNNNNNNNNNNNNNNNNNNNNNNNNNNNNNNNNNNNNNNNNNNNNNNNNNNNNNNNNNNNNNNNNNNNNNNNNNNNNNNNNNNNNNNNNNNNNNNNNNNNNNNNNNNNNNNNNNNNNNNNNNNNNNNNNNNNNNNNNNNNNNNNNNNNNNNNNNNNNNNNNNAUAUAUAUAUAUAUAUAUAUAUAUAUAGAGCUUCUCAGCUGCGGACGUCCGCAUUUAUUCUUACGGUGCGGAUUUUCACUUUACACUCACUUUUCAAUCGAAUUUUCACAUCUCCACCGUCUAGUAUUUAGAUACUAAUGUAUAAAUCAUCUCUACAAAAUUUCAGCCAAUUUGGUAAUCAUUAAGGCACUCAAAACUCCGUUUUUCUGUUAUAAACAUGAACUGUUCAAGUUCGACAGAAUUAUGUUCAUCCAUUGUUUUAAUCUAGUUUGAGUGUCUUACCGAUAAUCAAAUUGGCUGAAAUUUUACAGAGAUGAUCUAUACAUUAGUAUCUAAAGNNNNNNNNNNNNNNNNNNNNNNNNNNNNNNNNNNNNNNNNNNNNNNNNNNNNNNNNNNNNNNNNNNNNNNNNNNNNNNNNNNNNNNNNNNNNNNNNNNNNNNNNNNNNNNNNNNNNNNNNNNNNNNNNNNNNNNNNNNNNNNNNNNNNNNNNNNNNNNNNNNNNNNNNNNNNNNNNNNNNNNNNNNNNNNNNNNNNNNNNNNNNNNNNNNNNNNNNNNNNNNNNNNNNNNNNNNNNNNNNNNNNNNNNNNNNNNNNNNNNNNNNNNNNNNNNNNNNNNNNNNNNNAAUCUUUUAUUAUUAUUUCUUGUCAUUUGAUUACUCUUUGAUAAAAUUGUUGUUUUUCUUGCUCAUCAAAAUAUCAAUGGAAGACUCUUGAUGCUGUUAUUGGUGAUAUCACUAUAACAGCAGACCGAUUCAGCGUAGUGGAAUACACACAGCCAUAUAUCGAGUCUCCUUUGGUACUAAUAGUUCCAGGGAAAGCUGAGGAUUUGGAAUGGACGUUAGUAAAACCUUUCUCCGGGAAAAUGUGGACAGCAAGUGGUGGCAUAUUAGCCUACACUAUCUUCAUCAUAUGGUUUCUGGAGCGCUCAGUUAAUCCAAAAUUCAGCGGUCCAUUGAAGAAUCAGAUUGGCAGAGCAAUUUGGUUCGCCUUCACCUCUUUGUUCUUUUCUCACAGUAUGUAUAAUUCAAAGAUUUCAAGCCGCAAUCCUUAUUAUGUGAACAAUGUAGUUUAACAUAUGGUUGCAUUAUGCAGGAGAGAGACUCUAUAACAAAUUAACUAAAGUAGUUGUUCUAGUGUGGCUGUUUGUUGUAUUGAUCCUGGUCACAAGCUACACUGCUAAUCUCUCUUCAAUCCUGACGAUUCAACGAUUGAAACCGAAUGUAUCAGACAUUGAAACGCUAAAGAGAACCAACUCUAAAGUUGGCUUGAAUACGCAUUCGUUUGUCGUCAAUUACUUGGUGACUGUACUUGGAUUCAAGCCAGAAAACCUCAUCAAAAUAGACAGUGAAUCCGACUACAUAGAGGCGUUCGAAAACAGAAGUAUAUCUGCUGCAUUGCUUGAGUUCCCAUAUGCGAAAGUAUUUAUGAACCAGUACUGCAAGGGAUAUACUGCGACCACACUCUCCUAUAGAUUUGGAGGGCUAGGCUUUGUGAGUAGUAACUAAUUAAAUCUUUUCUGUUCUGCUUUGUUUUCUGCCUUUCUAAAAGAGAGACUAUACUAAGUCUAAACUAGGACAAAUAAAAACAUAUAUAUUGAUAAUCAAUGAAGCUAAUAAAAUUAGUACGUUGCAGAUAUUUCAGAAAGACUCUCCAAUUGCCCGGGAUUUCACCAAGGUCAUUUUAGAGUUAUUGGAGGAGGGAAAAAUGAUGUCACUUGAAGAUGCUUGGUUGACACCAAAUCGUGGGUGUCCAAACAAUUCAACUUCAGAUGGACCAGAAAGUUUGAAGGUCAAGAAUUUUGUAGGACUUUAUGUAAUCUAUGUUGCUACUUCCACCAUUUGCUUUCUGUUAUCCUUAACUAUCUUGCUCAAGCAGUUUCAACAACACCAGGAUGCUUACCAAGGCAAUGCAAGUGAUGAAAGUGUUUGGAACAGAACACUUAGAAUGGCAAGAUUCGUAUAUAAUAGAGAGUUCAAUGUUCCAAGUAGCAGAACUGCAAGUUUUGUUGAUGUGCUGGAAAUGACUUCCUCCCAAUGGGAGCACGCAACCACUUCCACCCCUCUUGGAGCAUCUUCUUCAGGCCUCUACCCCCGCACAAACUAGUCCACCACAUGAAUAAAUAGAACUAUUCUAUUUAUUCGAUACGGUUGUGUGUGCAUGUGUGUAUAUACGAGUACUGUAUGUGUGUAUAACUGUAUNNNNNNNNNNNNNNNNNNNNNNNNNNNNNNNNNNNNNNNNNNNNNNNNNNNNNNNNNNNNNNNNNNNNNNNNNNNNNNNNNNNNNNNNNNNNNNNNNNNNNNNNNNNNNNNNNNNNNNNNNNNNNNNNNNNNNNNNNNNNNNNNNNNNNNNNNNNNNNNNNNNNNNNNNNNNNNNNNNNNNNNNNNNNNNNNNNNNCAUGGCAAGAGCGGCCAUGAAUGAUAUGAAACUCCACGGGGAAGCAAAAUAAGUGCUGAAGAGGAGCGUUGUAUAUCUUUGAACCCGCACCCUCAGAAAUACUUUGAGUUUUCUCAGAUGAAACCAGGAGGUACAAUAUUCAUUCACCUCAUCGCACAAGGUUCUAAAAUGGAAUUCCUUGACAACAACUUCAUCUAGUAUACCUUUGAAUAUUUGAGCCAAAUAUUCCUCUUCACCUCCAAUCCAGUGGUGAUAUUUCGUUAUCCCCUUCCUUAGAAGCAGAUUGCUAUCUCGUGAGGAACCGAUGAGACCCUUCAUGAGGCAGGCAUAUGAUGUAACCGCUUGCGUACUAUUGAGACUGCAUUGCUCAUAAUUAAGCAAUCAGGUUCAUCAACAAUGAACUCGUUGUUUCUUGAAUAAUCAGUGGUGGAAUUCUGAUUUUUCCCUCACUGAAAGUUAUGUCCAGCAACUGGCCCUGCUUGGAGCCAAUGUCAAACUCGACUCCAGACUCCAAAAGUUCAGAAGCACUAUAAUUGAAUCCCCAUACUUUAUUCUUUUGGAUUGCCCUAAGACGCUGCUCCUCAGGGAUCAAAUCCACAUUGAGCCUCAUAGACAAGUCAGUAGUUUUGGUUGGGAGGAAAUAGAACUUGUGCAAGAUAUCCAGCAAGUGCUUGUAAUCUUGGGAGUCAUGUCUCCGCUCUGUUACUAUGCUUCCCUUGAGGCUCACUGGUUGAAAGAAGUGAAGAGCAAGACAAUAUGGCGGAGGCAAAUCAUUGUCGAUAAGUGUCUGAUGACCACUAAUAGCAUCAUACAAAUCAAGUAUAAUACAUAAGGGGAUUUGGUUUUCAAGCAAUGCCAGAUCAUGACGUAUAUCUGCGAUCAUCCAAGCACUUUCUAGAAUUGGAUCAGGUUCAUGGCCUUCUAACUUCCUGUCCAUGUAUAGGUAAAACCUGAUGAGAAGUUCCAAUAUGAAGCAACCAUCGACCAACAUUAUUUCUGCUAGUUCCUCCUGAUUAAUGUUGCUCAUGUCUUCAACGUAACUUGCACAAACCAAUGCAUCCGAAUCAUAGACAGCAGUUGCCCAUUCUCUCAUGAAUUCAGAAGAUACUCGUGAUCCAAAGCUGAAAUUUAGAGCUCGUUUCUGUGCUGUUUCUUGUGCUCGCUUAAAAAAGUAUAGCGCAUAACGCAACUUAUGCUCUCUCAUAGCUACUAGAUGAGGCUUGUGUCUAUGGAAAGGACCAAUGGAGACAACAUGAGGGCUGUAUGCAUCCUCAUUGACUUGAUGAAGUCUAUUUGGAACUCUGUAGAUGCUCAAGUUCCAUGGCCGCACAUUGAGGGCUUUUCUUCGAUUUUUGUUGUCCACUGAAGUUUCUUCCGAUACAUCUUUUGGGUAAAGCUUAUCUCGCUUUCUGGCCCUUCUGAAAGUUUAUCGAUAUGAGAUCCAAUGCUGAUCUCGGUUUCGUGCUGUUCAUGUAGAAGGGGUAUGGGAUAGGGAGUGAAUGUUAACAACAUUUCCCCACAAAUAUGUUAUAUAUAUCACUGAGUCCGGAUCUAGAAAGGACCUCCUUAAACUCUUAAAGUAAAGAUGUUUUUAGUUCUAGCACUGAGUCUGGAUCUAGAAAAGACCUCCUUAAACUAUUAAAAUAAAGAUGUUUUUAGUUCUAGCAUGUAUUUUGACAAUCAAAGCCACACAUUCCCUAGUUACUUACCCACAUGAAUCAUACAAAAAAUUAGCCAAAAUGAAAAACGUUUAACCAUUUGAUUAGCACAAUAUUCAUUUUAAUUUUAUCUAACGGCUUACAAUUGUUUACAUCAAUUUGAAUGACCAAAUGUUUAUGGAAUUAAUUGAAAUUUUGUAGACAUAUUUCUUGUAUAUAAAUCUAGAGAAUCAACGGGUGAGACCGUUAAAAGAAGUCAUAUACUAAUGUAAAAUAUAUAGUAGAAAUCCUCAAAUUCUUAAAGUAAAAAUGUCCUCUUUAGAUCCUCCCUCAUAUACCCCACUUAUGUGUAUGUAUGUAAGAAAGAUAUAGAUAUGAUAAAAAUUAUCCACUUAUAAUAAAUAGUAGUGUUAGACACUUAUGUGUAUGUAUGUAAGAAAGAUAUAGAUAUGAUACAAAUUAUCCACUUAUAAUAAAUAGUAGUGUUAGAGUGUUUAGAGUUAGAUAUCAAAUAUUGUCGCCUGAGUCUUCAUUUAACAUGAUCUCAGAAAUCUUGAUUAUUGACAGAAAAUUAAAGAAAGAACAAUCAUAUAUGCAGAAUUCGGCAACCCGUCAUUUCCGUCAUUUGUGUCUCUUCAAUUCAGAUCCUUAAGCAUAUAAUUAACUGAAAACCCGGCCAUUUGGUAGUUCAAAGUUCAAACUGUACAGCUAGAUGUCAUACUCAUAUGCAGAAAGAGUGAAGCAGGAAGAGGAAACUUACCAGACUUUCGGAGUCAGCAAGGUCCUCGAUACCGUCCGCCAUUGAUCUAAGCUUGGGAAUGGUCAAGUAUCAUGAACACUAGUACUGUUCUCAGUAUCACGUCCCUGCCCCAACUGAGCUGACAUACUAAUCUCAUCAGGAUGAGGAUGAUGAUCAAUUCGGCGGACACGGUACUGACUUCACUUCAGACCACCAAAGUACCAAGUAGUAAUCAUUGGCCCUCAAUACAUUCAAUUAUUAGUGGAAGCAGCCAUUGACUCUCGGUUGUUAAUAUGUGUAAUUGUGUAUACAAAGAGCCAUUCUAACGAGACCUUUAAGUUCAGGACUUUUUGGCUUAAGUUCAGGACUUUUUGGCUUAUCUCAUUUUUUAUUUUAUACCCACAUCUUAACCGUCGAGUUUUAUUUAUGAGUAUAUCAUUUCUGUAUAUUUAAUUUCAGCCAUAUUGAAAAUCGUUAAGGCAUUUAUAAGUGUGAUUUACUAAUUAUGACAUUCAACAAUUCAUGUUUGACAGAUUUGGUUCGUCCAAUAAUUUGAUCUAGUUUGUUACCUUAACGAUCACUAAUUUAGCUAAAAAUUUGUAGAAAUGAUCUACUGAUAUAGAUCUAAAAAUUAAACGGAUAAGAUGUCAAAAUGUGAUCGAAAAAUAGGUCUUUUUAACCAUAAAUUAAAAAGUCCUCAACUAGUCUAAUUUCCGUGCUGGCCAAAAGACCUAUAUAAACUCAUAUAUGGAUAAGUUUCUCACCUUUUUAGGACAUUUCAUAAUAUGAGUUACCAAACCCCAAAGCAGUAACCACCUUCCCAAUUUCUUCAAUCUCCAAUUCUUCUUUUAAGGGAAUCUUACAAGGCGGCAUGGUACCAGAGCACCAUGCAACUCAGAUUCACGGAGAGCUCCUCCGGAGUCGCCUAUUCACUUUGUGGUUGAUCCUAUCUCUAAUUAUAACGACCACGACGACAUCAGCGUAUGGCGAGUCGUUGACGUGUUUGACGCUUUACGAACAAGGCGGUGAUCCCGCCAUUUUGUAUUGUCAGGAUUUUCAAUUUACUUGGAAGUUGAAAUGUUCUGCAGAUGGUCAGACCUUCUCCAAGGUUCAAUUUUAAUGAUUGAAUUUUUGUAAUCAACGUGGAUCAACUGCUAUAUAUGUACUGAUGUUGAGACAACAAUAUUUUGUACCUGUGUAUACUAUUUUAGUUUCUCAUCGAAAACAACCUAGCUGCAAGGCAUUACUACAAUUCUCAAAACAAAACAAAAUGUUCAUUACUAAAAGAAGAUCGAUCAAUCAUAAAACUCUACUGUGAUGACUUGUCUGCAAAAUGAGCAUCCCAGCUUCCUAGUCCCAUACCACUUCAAAUAAUGUAUGGUUUAUCGAGCUAUCAAUUCAAGAUUGGGAUACAGAAAUAUAAUCCUUGCAGAAUAUGGUUUAGUAUUAAAAUAGGAUUCUGAUUUAAAAUAUAUGUUUUAUUUCUUCAAAUCCGUUUUAUAUAGGAACAUGAUCAGCUAGGUUGGAGCUUCUAUAAAAACCUAGGCCUAGGCCUCUUCUCUUCCAGUGCAUGCGCUGGCUUUUAUCGAGUAUGAGUCACGAAAGACAACAGCAGGUGGAUGACAACAACAGUAGGUGGUCGAAGCACCUUCCUGAUGAAUUGAUCGAGAUGAUUGUGAAGCGUCUAACCCUAGUCGAUUCAAUCAGAUUCGCUGCUGUUUGUUCUACUUGGAGAAGUGUAUCAUCACAAUGGUUUCAACGAGUAACCAGACUUCCAUGGCUCUUAAAAUCGGUUGAGAUUCUAGACUCAAAAACUACUGUGAAUUAUAGUCUCUAUAGUGUAAGUGAAGACACAGCCUACGACCUCAAGUUUCCAAGCGAAAGCGCCUCCAGUGACGGGAUACAUUGCACGGGCUCUGCUAAUGGCUGGUUGAUAAUGUCUGAAUAUUGUAAUGAACCGAUAACGUGCACCAAUUAUUUAUUGAACCCAAUGACAGGUGAUCGUAUUAAGCUUCCCCAAGUGACCGGAUUCAUCCCUCAAGUGUCCACGGCCUCUUCAGAUCCAAGAUCUCCUGAUUGCAUUGUUGCAACUAAGAACGGUUUAGGGUUCAUCUUUUGCAGGCCAGGUAGUCAAGACUGGAGUUGGACGACAACGACACCGGAGCUUGGUAGGAUGGAUUCCAUGAAAUUUCAUGAUGAUGGUAAGUUAUACGUAACAGGACGGAAGUAUGAUGCGUAUGAUGUGGUCCGAAGGUUUAGCGAUUAUUAUCAUGUGCUUGUUGUUUUUGUUCCUGUUAUUGGCAAAGACGAGGAAAUUACUUGGGACAAGGAAAGGGUGAUAAAAUUAGCACCCCACGAGCCUUGGACCGGUGUGGAGUCAAUAACCGAACCGUGGCUGGAGUUCGCGGGUCCAGAAGUUACUUUGUCCUCCAAAGGUAAGCUUUUGCUAGUUUGGAGGCGAAGGUACAUUCACGAGCCCGACCCGCCACACUUUCCAUAUCAUGUGGUAAAGAUGGAUGAUGAUGGCUGGCCAGGCUGGGAGAACUCGGUGGAUUUUCAUGUGGUAAAGAAAGAUAAGAUUUGGGCAGCGUAUGAUGCUUCUGAAGACGAACUAGUCUUGAUAUCUCAUGGCUACAUCUCAGUGCGAAAGUCCAAUAAGUCAUUUACGCGGCCAACCAUAGACGAGCGCUUUUUUGGACGUCAUUGCAGAAAACUGAGCACAUUCUGUUGGGAGACUACGGAAGAUGGUGGUCUGUUGGAUAAUAUUAAAUAUGGGCGAUGGUUUUCGCCCAACAUAGCAGCGCUGCCAAAUAAUUCAAGGAGAUUCUAGGUAUAGGAUCGAUGACAUUUAAAAUAUAAAAUAAAAAAUAAAAAAACUUUUUCUUAAAUAACUCGCACGAGAUUUGAACUCAUAACCUCAAAGUUGUUAGAAAGAGAAAUUUGUGUUUGGGUUCUGAACUGUGCUUUAGGUCACUUGAUGUCAAGUGUUGUGCAUGCAAUGUACAUGCUUCACCAAUUUUAUGUAAUACAUGUAAUGGAGUCGAGUUAUGUGGCCGGUCUUGUAGAAACGAAUCGUCAGUUUUACACCAACAAAAUGGUCUAUGUUGCAUCUUUUGAAUGGUACACCCAAAAUAACAAUAAAUUAAGAAACUUUACAAUUCACUGUCCAGGUUAAUCAAUGAAUUUCUCCCAUUGAAGCAUGUUGGUGAUGGAAAGGUACUGCAAAGGGGUUAUGAUGAGUGAGGCAUCAUUUAUCAAUCUAUUUAUUUGCAUGUUUAAUAGUUUUUUUUUUUCUUCUCCUAUCUCUUUUAGUAUUCUAACGAAAGUGAGCCAUACACUUCCGAGAUCAGUCAAAGUCUUUACUCUAAAAGAGAGAGAUCCGUUUUUGUCUAAGAAAGAUGAGAAAGAUGUGUUAAGAGAUGGAGUUACCAUCUAAGUACAAUAAGACGCAUCAAUGUACUUAAUGCAAUAUAAAAGACUUAACAUCUCAUUCGUUGUAAAGCUAAGUGCAGCUAUGCGCCCACGCAACACCAAUGGAAUGACAUGAGGACAUCCGUUAAAUACUUAAAAGUAUUUGGGUUUAUUCAAUCCUUACAUAGAAUACGACAUGAUAGAAUGGACACUAUCCAAGCCAUCGCUAGCUAUGCAUAAAGAAAGAUGCAUCAAAAGUAAAAUCAGAAAAUAUGAACAUGUAUUUUCUGGACAACCAACUUCAACGAAGCUUUGUGUCCCCUUCUAGAAUGAACCAGAAAGUUUGUAAUAUACGGUUGGAAAGGUACGAAUGUCUACUUCCAGAAUCGUUUACGGAUCUUCCAUAUCUAUUUCCUAGAGAAAGUUACGGCUAUUUUUGUCCCCGAAAGUCAUCCUUGAUGGUACUCAUCCUUCACCAUGUUUGUAUUGUCAAUUAUGAUGAAUAUCCCAUAUGACUCGAGUUGUUUUACCUUGCCAGAGAUAAUAUCUCCGACUUGCAAGCUAUCCAAAUUAAGGACUUGUUGAAGACUUUUCGGCUUAUCCCACAUUUCGAUCUUAUAUCCAUAUCUUGACCGUUCAGUUUAUAUAUACCUUUAUGAGUAUUUAUCCAAAUUUUCAGCUAUAUUGAAAAUUGUUAAGGCAUUCAUAAGUGUGAUUUAUCAAUUAUGAACUUGAACGGUUCAUAUUUAACAGAUUUGGUUCGUUCAUUAAUUUGAUAUAGUUUGUUAUCUUAACAAACACCAAUUUGGCUGAAAAUUUAUAUAAAUAAUUUACUCAUAUAUAAACCUAAAAACUGAACGGAUGAGAUGUCAAAAUGUGAUAGAAAAAUAAGUUUGUUAAACCAUAAACCGAAAAGUCUUAAACUAGUCAUCAACUUAAGAGUCCUCACUAGAAAAGCUCUCAUUCUUUGCACACUGUGACAAACUUCUUGCACUCGAUGACUUCAAGGUAACUUCAGCUCUCUUUGAUAAAGGCUCCACAUAUGACACCCUGCACUUAAAAUUCUUGGUAAGAGUUCACCACCGGAUACAUUUUCGCCAAUAAGUAUACAUAUUUUGCCCAGCAUAAUAAACAAAAUUAUUUACCUGGCCGAUAACAAGUUUUCCAACUGGGAAUUCCUUUUCAGGAUCAUCCACAUAUCCAUCAUACAAAUUGGAGACGAGAAUUUUGGCAUCAAGCUUCCGUGAAAGCAAAAUAAAACUUUCUUUUGAUGAAACACUUUUCACAUAAGCACAUAAGACUCCGCAUAUAUAAGAAGUUAGAAAGCAAAUUUUCAAGCAAAGCUUAGGAACAUCUAAGAAACUUCUACAACCUGUACGACCAUAUUAGGUAUGAUAAUCCUCCUACUGAGCUUCAUGGUUUCUUACAAGCGGAUUAUUUGGGUAUCCCUAAUUAUCGGUUUUCAUAGUGGGAAGAUUGCCUGGUUUUUUAUGGGUACAAGAAACAAUGUCUUUUUGUUUGUUGUUUUGGUUUGUAAUUGGAAUGGUUUUGGCCUAGUCCCCCAUUCCUCUUUUCAUGUAAUUUCUUUUAUUAUUUUAAAUAAAAAUUCUGAUAAGGGACGGGCGGUGGGUUCCCGGUUGUAGCGGUCCCCUUUGGGGUAGAGUGGGUGCUCUGUCAACCACCAGACUGCUACAGAGGAGCUGAUAUCGCCUAAUCCUUGUCAGUUUAAAAAAAAAAAAAUAUUAGGUUUCAGAUCGUCAAUCUUUUGCACAUGCUCCGUAUGAGUAUACCUGACCAAAAAAAAAAAAUUACUUUCUCAAAUAGUAAAUUAUAAUAGUAGAAUUCAAGGCAUGACGUCUAAAACUGGGAAAAUUCUAGUAUAUCAUAUGGUAUAGCAUGCCUAACAAAAUGUGUGGCUAUCAUUGAUAAAGAAGUAACUAAAUGACCAUGUAAUGACUAUUUACCCUCUCAAAGGCCCUCAUGUGUCAUAUAAUUAGACACAUUUGCCAUACCAUAUGGUAUGAUAGACAAACCCCAAAACUGAGACUAGACCAAUCUAUAUUCUAACAAAAAAGACAUGUCAUAAACACAUAAACAAGAUGGGUACAUUGAAUUCUUGACAAGGCGUGCCAACUAAAGAAGAUCGUAAUGACAACUCAAAGUGAAAAGUUCCCUGUCUAGAGCGACUACUACAUUCAAGGACUGCAUUUGACAAAUCUGUCCAUCCUCGUAUCCGGACAAGAAUAAGAAGCUGAGCCCUGAGGGCAUCUCCAACAAUCUUUUUUAUACCCAUACAUAUACCUAUAUUUUGAGUCACCUAAACCCAUUACUAUUCAAACUCAUAUUCCAUCUCCAACCAUUAUAUCAAAACCCAUACUCAUACCCAAAUUUUAAUCAUUUUAUAUAAUUUGGGUACGAGUAUGGGUUUUGGUCAUCAACAAAUAAACCCAUUUCAUAUAUAGUGUUUAGGGUUAAAUGAUUUAUAUAACAACAAAUAAAUUAUAUAAAUCAUACAUAAUAAUUUAAUAUAAUAUGUUGUCAUAGUUAAAAUUAAAUAAUUGGUGUUGUGCCAUGGUGUGUUAUGUUUAUUUAUUUGUUGUUUGUGUGUUUAGUAUUAUUGUAAUAUUUGCAAUUUGAUAAAUAAAAUUGACAUUAACAAAAGCAAUAAAUUACUCAUUAAUUAUAAUUGAAAAUCAAAGUACAUUCUUUUUCAUAAAUUAAAGUACUAAAAUGAAAUUAAAAUAGAGGCAACAAAGUACAAUUAAUAUACUGAGUCAUCUUCACCUUCAGAUGAAGCAAGUGGUUGGUGUGACCCGACAUUGUAAGCUUGUUCCUCCUUCUCAAUAACCAUAGCUUGCUUCUUUUCCCAAUAAGCCCUAAUUGGGGCGGGAUAUUUUGAUGGAUCCACCACCAUUGUGGCUGCAUCAUCUGCACGUUCUUGUGCAAGUCUAGUCUCCUCCCUAAGUUGUAGCUUGUGUUCGAGAUCACAAUCUCCUUGGUCCGCAAUUCUUUUAAUUUGAGCUAAGAGUUGAGAUGUGUCAUCUUGUUUGCAUUUUUUCUUAGCAGCCCUUUGAGCUUUUUGGCCUGAAAGGCGUGCAUGCACAUUUGAAGGGCUUGGGUUCCCUCAAUGGGUGUACCUUCUCCGUUCAAGUCAAUAGGUGACUGACCACUAGGGAUUUCAUCAUCCAAGGACGGAGGUUUGCUAAACUUUUCUGUAUCCAUCAAUAUUGGCCAACAAUGCGCAAAUUUAAACUCCUCCCCCAAAGACAAUGUACGAUAUAUCGACCUAGCUUGCACUUCCUAUGUAUUCAUACAAUAAAUAAUAUAUAAGUGGUCAUAUAUAUAUAUAUAUAUAAACAUGUAUUAGUGAUUAUAAACAAGUAGAUAUUAAUUGUCAUAAACAUAAACUAAUAUUAGCAAAUUCCUUAUAUUGGGUUAUGAACAAAUAAAUACUACCGGUCAUAAACAAAUAAAUAUUACCAAGUCGGUGGCAUUUUCACCACUUGCGUGAGCGGCUUCCGCUUUGGUAAGAGCUUCACGCCACCUUGUGCAACCCGGUCUAAUCUUUCUCCAACGAGCUUCACACCCUCCUCCCGAUCUAAUAACGGAACUGGGUGGCUUGCAAGCUUCAUACACUUCCCAUAUACGAUCCCAUAAUUUUUUCUUCUCUUGACCCGUAGCUUUGUCACCGUCUUCACCAACCGCAACCACCGCUAUGCACAACGACACAUCUUCGAGGUUUUUCCAAGCUUCUCCUCUAGGUUUAGGGUUGGACAUUUUUGAAAAAAAAAAAGAAAAAAAAGAGAUUUGAAAACUAGCUAGCUAGAUGAAGAACAAUUAUGAAAAUAGAGUGUAGAAGGAGAGAAGUUUUGGAGUGAAAAUUAUGAAGAAGGUGGAUGGUAUUUAUAGACAUUAGUGCAAAUUACUGUUCCAACGGGCAAAUUUUUUUUUAUAUAUUUUCCUCAAUUUUUUUUUCUUAUUUUUCAAGUUUUUUUCAUUUGAAAACAAAAUUUUCGGCCUCAUUUUCUCUUUUUCCAAUUGAAUUUAUCUGGACCUUUGAUUUUGAAGGAAAUCAAAUAUGGGCCGCAGAUUUUUGGACCGUUGGAGGACCACAACCGAGCUCACGUGGGACGGCCCCAGCUCCCUUCAUCGCGUGGUGGGCGCAUCAGCUUCUUGCGUUCGUUUUUUUGUCUUCUAGCGCGAAUCUGGUGCUGCUCGCCUUUCCCGCGCGUGGCCUCUGCGACUGCCUCUUCCUUCACGUGCAGCUACUGGCUCGUGGGUCCCGCGCAAGCUGGAUAUGGGUUUCCUCCUUCACAGUCGACCCAUUUUGGGUCAGGAAACUGGUAGGAACCCAUUUUGGGUAUAGGUUGGGUAUAGGUUUUGAUUGUUGGAGAUGAGUUUUUAUGGAUUUUGGGUUUGGGUAUGGGUAUGGGUAUGACAACCCUUGUUGGAGAUGCCCUGACAUUCCGAGAUAUUGUUUAACUUGACCCAUUCAACAUCCACCUUGUACAGUGUACACACAUAGCCAUUUGAGAAAUUGCGAUCUUCAUUUAUAAGUUCAUAACACUUCCCUCUAUUUCACAGGAACCUGAAAAAAAACACAUUGUAGAGCUUAUAACAAGUACAUUUAUUGGAAUUUUAACUCCACAAGCACAGUCAACAAGGAACAAUUUCUACCAUGGAGUCAAAGAAAUAACUAAAGACAAGAGUACUAAAUUUAUGAAUGUAGAUCUGAUGGCCUAGUACUACACAGGAGGUACAUUUCUACAUAUAAGAAAUGACAUAUGUGUGUAUACAUAUAAACAUGAGUCCGGUUCAAAAAAUAUUAAAUUUAACAAGAGUCCGAUUCAAAGAACAUUAAAUUUAAGAAAUGACAUAUAAGAAAUGACAUAUGUGUAUAUACAUACAAACAUGGGUCCGGUUCAAAGAACAUUAAAUUUAACAAGAGUCCGGUUCAAGGGACAUUAAAUUUGACACAAAUUUUGACACUAUUUUCUAACUAUUAGAUUUUAAAACAUUUAAGGGUCUAGAUCAAUUGUAGAUGUGAUGUCAACAUAUAAAUAAUUGAUGUGGCAAGUGACGUGACAUUGCCUAAUCUUUGAACACAUAGAGACCCAUGAAACCCAGUUUUUUGUUAAUAUAUGUGCAAGUGGUAUUUAGAGAAGUUUGUAAAGUGUAACGGGGGCAAAGAGGAAUGCGUUAUGGAGUGGGACAAAUACAAAGCUUUUUUAUCUGUACUUUUCUUGAAUUAAUCUUAUUGGUGUUGGUAAUGGGGUUUGGCUCAAGCCUUCAUGGCAAUGUGUUGGAUAAUGAGAUUGAUCUGGGUUUCUCACCGAAUGGCUACUCAGAUGCAAUUCAACAAACUAUACCCUGUAUAUAUAAUGAGAUUAAGUAGAGCAAUCCUGUGUAGGUUAGUAGCUAAGGAGAUUCAAACCCUGUGUGGGUUAGUAGCUAGCUAAGGAUCGAGAUUCAAACCCUGUGUGGGUUAGUACAAGCUUAACGCCUUAACCAACCCUACUAACCAUUUAACUUGUUCAUCUUACUAUUUAUACAAAAUAUAUUGGCUUCUUUCCGAAUUUGAAAAGUAAAAACUUAAGUAAAUGUCUAAUCUACAACUAACUUUUAUACAUACACUUGUUAAUUCCUUUUUAAUAUAUCUGAAGGUCAUGUAAUUCCAUGUGAAAUGUAUUAUAUGUAUAUAAGGCAUGAUGGCCUAACCUUACUUUGGGUUUCUAGCCAUAAAAAAAAAAAAUGUUUAAAGUAAACUUUUAAGAAUUAUUAACGGUUCAACACUAACAUUUUCACCUUAACUUAGUAAUUACUACAACUCCUUAUAGAUCAAUGUUUAUUCAAGGUUUUCUUUUCAAAUAUAGUACAUAAUAUAGAAAACAAACAUCUUUUAAAGUUUGGUUUAAAAUUUCCUUGUUUUUCUUUAAAUUUCAGUUAAUUUUCUCAUUUUUUUAUUGCAAUUGAUAUUUCCCCGAAAUUUCCGUAAUCACCAAAAUUUUACUCCUUGACCACGUUACUUGCCACAUCAAUUAUUUAUAUGUUGACAUCUUAUCUACAAUUGAUCUAGACCCUUGAAUGUUUUAAAAUCUAAUGAUCAAGAAAUAAUGUCAAAAUUCGUGUCAAAUUUGAUAUUUCUUAAAUCGGACCCUACAAAUAUAUAUAUAAUUAUGAAAAUGUCUACAAAGAUAGAAGAGGACCUUCAUUUUUUCAUAUAACAAUAAAAGAUAUACAUAACAUACACUCAUCAUGAUGCUCAAAGAGUAACUAUACAUUUCUGGAUAUAUGAAAUGCCUUAAUAUCUAUGAGGAUGGAAGAGAGCAUCAUUUUUUUUUAUUUUUUAUAAGAAUAGAUGAUGUACAAAGUUACACAUAACUCUGGAUGAGGUUCAAAGAGUCGAGUUACAGAUAGCUCGACCAUUUUUAGCUCGACCAUUGCUCACAGAGGCAGAGAUUAGGGGUUAGCUCCAGGCCUGCAGAAAUUUACAGAAGUUCUCUGUGUGCAACUUCACUCCUACUGGCUUUUGACUCGCAGAGUUGCAUAUUAAGAGACAAUAAGCCAGCUGUAAGCACAGAAUCCUUCAUUGCCACAGAAUCCUUCAUCGCGAGCAGGUAUUCUCUGCCAAUCGAAACUCUGGGCAUGUCCACACAUCAGGAUUUAAGUUCAAUGAUCGUCUUCAUUAAUUCCAGGGCAGCUGGAUAAUAGUUCCUCCAUUGAUUC